CCACGACAUGACUCAGCAACAACAAGAGGCCUAGCAGUCGAGCUGUCAAACAUAUAUAAGCCAGUAUACGUUAACGGUGUGACAUGCAUUACCAUAUCAGCAGGCAAAACAGCUGAGGAUGGUGCUAUCAGCUAUCUCUUAUAGCUAAAAUGAUCAACACUUCGAGUGAAAAAAACAAAAGCAAAGCAUGAUCAAAGUAACAAGCAACAUACACACGCUACAUACAUGGUUGUACUACCUUCUCUGUCUCUCUUUGUUCAGGCUAUGGUGGUGCUGGUUAGUAGACCAUGACUGGGAUGUGCUACUAAAUGUUUUAUACAGAUUUGGUGUCACUGUCAGCCAUCAUGACAACAGCCUCACUUUCAUUCCCAUGUCUCUUUUGGAAGAACCUUUGGGAACAAAGCCGGAUGGCUAUCCUGGUAGGUCCUCAUCUUUCUUGCAACUUAAUCUUACAUGGCUGUGGAUCAGGUUCUUCCUUGCUGUUUUGUCCUUCUGUUAGGUCAUCUGGCCAACCACCAGCCGCUGAAUGCUACUGCCAGGACAAGGACUGGUCAAGAGCCAAGAGUCUCUCAACUUUAAAAAGCAACAAAUUAUCAUGGAAUGGAAUGGAAUGGCAGUCAUCAUGCACACCAAUCCAUAUUGAUUCGAUUUUCCUCCUUAGAUUUGUUUUUUUUUGGAAAAAUGAUUCCUGGUUAUCUUAGGGACAGAAUUAACAUUUUUAGAUGACAUAAUUAAGGCUGUGUUCCUUUUUCUAGGUAAAAUUUGCGGUUUUUUAGAAGAUAUAGUCAUAUUAAGUUUGCGCUCCGUUCUGACUCUCAAUUUUUUAUAGAAAAAUGGUGCCGUUUUAUCGCAUAAUAUCAACGUUUACAAGAAUGUAUAAAUGGGGUGGGGGAUCAUUGAUUCCAUCGAACAACACUUCUAAGUGUUGCCCCCUGGAACUUAUCAUGCUCAUGUCGGCAAACAACUCUACCUGCACCUUUUUUGUUUCUUGAGAAUUCUCUGAAUGCACCCUUGUUCUGCAUCCAACAACAUGAAGAUGAACGUCGAUGGUGUUCAAACGGGCGCGGCUAUAUGUCGCUUAUAGCUAACCGGAAGGAGGUCUAGCCUCAAGCAGCUUGUCUACCUGUCUUCCCGUCGCUAUGGGCCGGCCGCGGCUAGUUUGUUUCGUUCACUAUUUUCUGUCUUUCAUUCGUUCGCUUUUGUUUUUAUUUUUAAAAUAUCUAUACCUAUACCUACCUAAUAAUAAAGAGGCUAUUGCUUUCAUCGGAAAACCCACCGGGGCAUUUUUACAAAAAAAGCCCCUGUAAUUUUUGUUAUUCAACCCGCACUCCAUCAUUUAUCUGGAACGCAAAAGGAAAAAACGAUUCGCUGAAAAAAUUAUACCCGUACGCAUCGCCUCCUCCCGUCGAUCCUGGGCUACCCUGGUCUGUGCCCAGGCCGCCGCCACACCACUCGCCGCCGCGGCCGACCUCAACUGCCACCGUUGCCGAUCUCAACCCACCCGCCUCCGCAGACGUACCUCUCCCCGCUCACCGCCCCCGUUGCGGCGCUCGAGCGCAUCGCGUCGACCCUGGUCCACCCUGGCCUGUGCCCAGGCCGCUGCCACACCACUCGCCGCCGCGACCGACCUCAACCACCACCGUUGUCGAUCUCAACCCACCCACCUCCGCGGCCGUACCUCUGCCCGCUUGCUGCCUCCGUUUCGGCGCUCGAGCACAACUUCUGGAUCAAAUCAACGGGACAGCUACAGUGACUGAGAUGAUGCGUCUGCUCGAUGCAGAACGACGGCGGCGCGCGGAUAAGGCGCGGCGGAGCCAAGUACUUGCAGGUGGAGGCGGGCCUCCAUGGCUCACACGGGAAACUCCAAGGUUAUGGCGCGGCAACGGCGACUCCUUAUGGCCAGAUAGAGACGCCUAACCCUUGCUCCCCUCAUCGUAUCCCCUCCUCCGGCAGGAACUCAUCAUCUGGUGAGAUUCCCUCCCCAUGCCUCUAACCGUGUGCCAAACACCGGCAAGAAAUUUUGUUUUAUGGGGAUUUGUUUGCUGAUUAAUGAAUGUAUUAAAUGUAAGAUUGUAUUGUUGUAGAGACAGAGAAUGGAACACCACCUUCAGUUUGUCAUCUGAUCCCACAUUCUCUAUCCAUGAGUGAAAUAAGAUAACAAUCCAUUGACCAAUUCACGUAGCCUCUUUGUUUUGUUUUGCUUGUCCCGCUCAAUUUCUCAUCAUGGUGGAAUUAACAAUGGACGGGUUGAUUUCUCAACAAAAUAGGAUAUGACUGACUACAUUAGUUAGUUAACUUAUUAUUUUAAUAAAUCAAAAUGAUUAUAAAAAAUUUAAAAGCAUGUGAUAUUUUUUUCUCCCGUUGCAAUGCACGGGUCCUUUUGCUAGUAUAUUCUAAAAUGCAUAUACUCCAAAAACUUAAACAACAUAAAAAAAUUACAAAAUAAGUGAAGUAAAAAAUGUUAAGACUGCAUUUUUUUGUUAGCAUAGUUACAAAAAUUGUUGAUAGAAUUAAAAAAACACGUGUUCCAAAAAAGGAAAACAUUGUUUUUUCCAUUAUAGUUUUUGCCAGUUUUCAUUAUGCUACUCUAGCUUUUGACAUUUUACUUUUGUCACCAUUUUUUGUUGACAACCAUCGUAAUUGCCAUUGCAUGGCAAACGCAAAAAAUCCAGAGUGGAAAUUGUGAUACAUUGUCAAAAGCUAUGAGCGACAAAAGUGAAAUAAAACUAUUUGACUUUUGUCAAACAAUGAAAAUUGUGAUACAAUCAAAAACUACAAGUGACAAAAUUAAAAUAAAAUUAUUCCGCUUUUUGCCACAUAAUGGCAAUUGUGAUACAUUAUCAAAAGUUAAGAGUGGCGAAACUGAAAUGUUAGAUUUUAGAAUGUCAUGAGAAAAAUUGACAAAAGCUAGAGUGGUAAACUUGCCAAAAAAGUGUUCAUGAAUUUCUAAUUAUAAAUGUACAAAAUGUUCGCAUAUUUUGUAAAAAUAUUAACACAAAUUCAGAAAAAUAUUGAAAAACAUGUGUUAAAAAAGUAUUGACCAUGUAUUUGAAAAUGGUUAACCAUGUACACAUUUUUUGGGUGUAUAAAAAAUAUACAAUGCGUAUGAUAAAGUGGAAAUAUAUAUAUAUUUAAAAUAAUUAUUCAUAUAUUUAAAGGAUCUGUAAUGUUUCAAAAAUGUUUCAUAUCUUUCCCUAAUAAUAAAGGAGCUACCGCUUCUGUCGUCCGUUGCGGAAUUUGCCCCUAGACUUCGCAGGAAUUACGCCCCUAUGCCACCGAUGAGUGGAAAAAACGAUUUUGUUUUCCUCUUUUUUUGAAGUCAGGCGUUCGUCCAUUCUCCAUUUAAAAUAAUACCUGAACAAAUCACAGUUCCACGCGCAUCCCACUGGUCUGAGUCAUGCUCUAUCAUCCGGGAGACCUGAGUUUGAUCCCUGUUGCUGCCUUUCUUAAAUUAUUAUUUUUGCUUUUUAAUUUCAAUAUCUCCUUUACCUCUUUUUUUUUCUGAAUUGUAUUACAUUUCAGGUUUUGGUGUCUAAAAAUUUCAGUACAAAAUAAAAUCUGACAGUAUAUGCCAUUUAGAGGAGUAUUGCUGUCAACAUAAACUUUUUGUUUUGUCCCUCAAGUUUUCCAGUUUUCUUCUAGAUUUGAAUAUGUUGUUGGUAGUUUGCAUUCAUAGAUUUUUCGUAGCAACUGACAGAAUAUAUUAUUAUCAAAUCCAUAACUAUACCAUAAUAGUAAAUUCCACCAAGAGCUCGGGCGAGCAGACUGUCACUGGGUCACAUAUCCUCAUUUUUCUCCAUCAAGUUUCACUGGAUGAAAAUGUAGACGUUGCAAUAUUUAGAUUUAUUGUGUGUGUCGACUCUAGAUAAGUUCGAUGAUUCAAGAAAACUAUUUUAAAAAUGUUCACAUUUUAAGAAUAUAUAUUUGCAAAUAGUCUAAAAUGUUCAUGAAUGCAAAAAAAUAUUCCUGAUUUUAGAAAAUGUUCACGAACUUGAAUUUUUAUCACAAUUUCAAAUAUUUUUCAAAAAUAUGAUUUCACAAAAAUGAAAUUUAUAAUGUAUUUCGGUGAUGUAGCAAAAUAUGGUUAUCGCCGUUGAAAAUUAUGAUGUUUUUUAUUCCGUUGCAACGCACGGGCCAUUUUGCUAGUUUAUACAAAGAUGUAUAAUACGUAAAAAAAGUGGACGUGAAAACCUAUUUUGAAAAUAAACGCUAAUCAUGUAUUUGGAAUACGUUAAACACACAUAAAUAAAUACUUCUUAUUUGGACGAAAAAGAAAAUAAUAUAAUAAAUAAAUAAAAACUGAGAAAGAAACAAUAAAAACCGAAGAAAAAAUCGAGAAAACGAAAAAGGAAACCGAUGCAAAACCUCUCCUCGACGCGUCCCUUACCGGGCAUCGAACAAGUAACGAGCGGGCCCGUGCCUUGACGUUCUGACUCUCAGUUAAGAUGGGCUAAUUCCAACUCUCUCUUUUUUUUUGUGAUCUGGCUAUUUCCAAAUGGGCGGACCAUAUAUUAGGCCGCAAGUCCAUCGUAUACUUUCGUCCCACUAAGGUAGUUCUUCUUAAAUGGGCCGAAGGACCAUCUUAUAUUGUUCGGCCUGUUUCAACCAGUCUUUCUUAAAUGGGCCAUAGUCCAAUUCUCCCCCAAGAAAAUGGGCCCUACUCUUCGUCUAUAAAAUUACCGCUCCCCCGGCGGAGGCCAACCCUCUCAAAAACCCUACCCUCCUCCUCCCUCCAUCUCCGGCGGCGGCAGCAACAAAUUUCCGACGCCAUGAGGCCACCGGCACGAGGAGGUAACAGUCCGUCGCCCUACCCUCGGCCCUAUUCUUCUUCCUCACAUCCCCGAUCUCAUCCGAAGACGCUGUUACGCUGCACGCAGGACGCGGCGGGAGGGGUUUCGGCGGGAGGAGCGACGGCGGCGGCCGCGGGGGGAGGGGCUUCAGCGGGAGGAGCGAUGGCGGCGGCCGCGGGGGCCGGGGUGGCAGGGGCGGCAGGACGCCCAGGGGCCGCGGUCGUGGCGGGGGAAGGGGGGCGCCCGGCAUGAAGGGCGGGAGCAAGGUGGUCGUGAUCCCGCACAAGCACGACGGCGUCUUCAUCGCCAAGGCCAAGGAGGACGCGCUCUGCACCAAGAACAUGGCCGCCGGGGAGUCCGUCUACGGCGAGAAGCGCGUCUCGGUCCAGGUCAGUGCCCGCUGCUCCCGCUCUUACUCUUAGAGGCACCAUAUCAACAUCGGUUAUGUGCCACUAGCGGACGUCGAUAGAUCAAUCAACUUCACUAAAACCAGCUUAGAUUUGAGUGCAAUCGUCUGUUCACAGGUUCUUGUUAGAUGAUUGUUUCCCUGUGGUAUCAGAUUUCCUGCUCUGUUGUGUUCAUUGUGCAUAUAUCAAACAAAGUAUGCUUAUUUCUGCCCUGGUAUUGCAGAACGAGGACGGGACCAAGGCUGAGUACAGGGUCUGGAACCCCUUCAGAUCAAAGCUGGCUGCCGCCGUUCUUGGAGGUGUCGACAACAUCUGGAUUGUAAGUUCGUUGUGCUUUAGCAUGUAUUACGUGUAUUCAAACCUUGCUGUUUCAGGUUGCGAUGUAGAUUAGCGUACGACAUUGUCUAUAUGCUGACAUUGCACUUCUUAAUUCAGGCUCCUGGUGCUCGUGUGCUGUAUCUUGGUGCCGCCUCAGGAACGACGGUGUCCCAUGUGUCUGAUAUUGUUGGACCGGUGAGACAUCAUAGCUACUCACUAUUGAUCAAAUGCUUCUGUUUAUGUGAGCUGUGGUCUUACAGAAAUCUCGUCACUUGCAGACUGGGCUGGUGUAUGCUGUGGAGUUCUCGCACCGCAGUGGCAGGGAUCUUGUCAACAUGGCCAAGAAGAGGACCAAUGUGAUCCCCAUCAUUGAGGAUGCUAGGCACCCUGCGAAGUACCGCAUGUUGGUCGGCAUGGUUGAUGUUAUCUUCUCAGAUGUUGCACAGCCUGAUCAGGUAUACCUGUCAUCAUAUAAAUGCCCACAAUAACUAUUUGCUCAUUUGCCUAUGGGCAGGCCUAUCCAUUGUGGUAUGUCAUUGACUGCUAUGUUUGGAUCACCUUCUGUGGCUACAUUGGGGCUUAGCAAAUGAUGAGCUUACUCGGAUUCCCCUUCAGGACAUCACAAUGGAUGAUGCAAAAUCGAGUAUCUGAUGCAUUUUAUGCCCAACGCCAGUCCAUUUCUUAUUUAUCUUGGAUUUGCUAGGCUUCUCUUUUGAUGUCAUCACAUUGGAUGUUACAUGAAACUAUUCCCAUUACAAUGGUUAUCAAUAGCACUAACCAUUUAUGUAUACAAGUACUUGAACUGCUCCGCUUAGAUUUUGUAAUUAUGGUUUACAUCAGAUUAUUUCUUUCCAUUAUGGUUUAUCAGUUUGCAUUGCUUUCCUGGUUUUCUUUGGCUGUGUUGGUGCUAUUGCUGAUGAUGAGCUUACUCGGAUUCCCCUUCAGGACAUCACAAUGGAUGAUGCAAAAUCGAGUCUCUGAUGCUCUUAAUGCCCAGAAUUCCUACUUGUAUCACCAUAUUUGUUGUGUUGAUUUUGAUUACACUUGGAUUUCUUACUUCACUUUGAAUGCUGCAUGAGUUGAUUCCAUUUCAAUGGUUUCAAUAAUUCGCCUCUUGUAACAUGGUUCUUUCCUUAUUUGUAACUGUCAGUUUGGAAGGUUGAUUUAUGCUUGCUUGAUGUUGAACCUUGCCACUGCACAAUUCAGAUUUGAUAAAAGUAUAAUUGCUUAUCCCUUUUGCCGAUUUGGUUUGCAACUUUCCCCUUGCUGAUAGAAACUUUGAUCUUUGGUGUGGCAUGUGUCGUACUAUAAUACUAAGAAUUAUGUUAGCAUAUGGUAGGUCAUUUCCUCUUAAGGUGAAACUGUCUUGAAACUACUUACGGUGUUGCCUUACUGAUAUGUACACGUUUUCAAGGUUGCAGGGUUAGACAGCCGGUUAUUGUUGUGAAGUGUCAAAACUCGAAAUCUUUAUGUUUGGUUAUUAAAUUGUACCUUGCUUUGUUUACAACAUUUAGUCUCUGCACUUUCAUCUCUUCCAACAUACUGAUGAUUAUAUUAACCAAGAUUAAGAAUUGUAAUUAUCUUAUGUGUUGGUAAAAACAUUAUAUGCAGGUCGUUCAUCUUUGAAAUUUAGUGUUCAAUAUCAGCUUGAACAACCAAUAUGCCAUUGUUAAGUAGCGAAAACAUUCAUAGGUGAUACUAAACUGUACUAUCAUUCUUAAACCUGUCAAACUAUCUUCUCUCCUGCAGGCUAGGAUCUUGGCCCUUAAUGCUUCAUACUUCCUGAAGAAUGGUGGUCACUUUGUCAUUUCAAUCAAGGUAUGUACUGAUUACAGAUUCAAGAAACAUUGCAUAUGCCCUGGAACAUGAUUUCCUGGAAAUGUUGCAUUUAUGUAAUGGUUCUUCCUCUUGCCAGGCCAACUGUAUCGACUCCAUCCAGGCUCCCGAGGCCGUGUUUGCUGCUGAAGUUGAGAAGCUGAAGCUUGAGCAGUUCAAGCCUUCGGAGCAGGUGACCCUGGAGCCCUUUGAGCGUGACCAUGCCUGUGUCGUCGGUGGAUACAGGAUGCCCAAGAAGCAGAAGGCGACUUGAAGGAAAUAGUUAUAUAUGUUAUGCGCUAUGAUGUUCUAUCGUUUGUUAGUAUUAGGUCCUAGGUGUUAGGUGUUGGUGAUAUGAUCCGACAAUGUUGGUUCUAUAGCCUAGUUCGUUUAUAUGGUGUUGGUAAGUGGCUGAAUGAUUUUGCAUGCCUGUUAGCAAUUGUUGACUUGUUGGCAGUGUUAUCCAUGAAACCAUGACUUCCCAUUUGCACAGCUUUUUGUAAGCUUAUCAAAUCCUGAAUAUGCUUCAUGACCUUAGCAUCCUGUAAAGAUGUGUCAAUUUUUCUGACAUGUACUCCCCCGUUUCAAAAAAAUUGUCUUAGAUUUGUUUAGAUAUGAAUGUAUCUAGUCAAGUUUUAGUAUUUAGAUACAUCCAUUUCUAGGCAAAUCUAAGACAAAUUUUUUGAGACGGAGGUAGUAUGUGUUUGACAGGUAUUAUAUAGACUAAAAAUCUCAGCAUACACAAUUCAGACUAAGCAAAAUACAAAAAGCUUUUCAAGAUGGAUUUUUUGGUACGAUGCACACGUUUGAUUUUUGAGAAAGCUAACACAUGAAUGAUGACUUUGCUUGCGAAGCACAAGCUAAACAAGCAGGAUGUCCAUUCUUAUCUCCCCCUCCAAAUUUGUCUUGAUUUUUAUAUUUCUACAUUGUUUGAUUUUUAUAUUGCGACAAGUUGAGAGAAGUAAUAAAAAAAUGUGCGUUUUUUUAGGUUCCACCAGUUCUUUGGUUGAGGGGCCACAACCCGCGUGAAUCUCUCAUAUAUAACCGUCACUACAAGCCUUAUUUUAGAAGAACAGAUCUUCUUCAGUUUGUGCUUAAGUUUAAAGGCACACCACCCUCACUGAACUCUACAGCCAUUACCACCCUUACGGACCGUUGAAGGCCGAAGACGCACUCUUUCCACUUUGCUCUUGGUGAGAUGACCAUCACUUUGAAGGAUAUUGCGAUGAUCUCCAGGCUACUGAUCGAGGGCAAGGCUCUUAACUGGAAGGUGAAGUCUCAGGGGUGGCGACAAUGGGUUCCAGGAUUGGUUGGUGUUGAACCACCAACAAGGAUUCAGGAAAUCAAGAAGGAUCCUAGACCAUCUGGUGUUGUUCCCGUGGCUACAAGAACAUUUUUAUGAGUGUCAGAGGAUGCGAGUCCAGCUAUUAUGUAGAGGUAUACCAGGGCUUACUUAUGGAAUCUUUUGACCCAAGUGGUGUUUCCGGAUAGCACGGGAGACACGGCCUUAUGUAUGUUCUUGGACCCUCUUCGUAAUUGGGAUGAUAAGUGAAGUUGGGGGUCGGCGACACUAUCCUUCUUGUACCGACAGAUAAUGCUUCCUAUGAUGCAUCUUCCACAUCAUUUUUCAAAGCAAUUUGGAGUACAACAAUGCGCCCUGCCAGACUAUGUUGAGACAAGUGUGCUGCUACAUAGGUGAGAGUUUUUUACAACACAUGUUGAUCAAUGUGUAACACGAAAAAUGAAACUGAUGUAUUCUUCUCAUGCUUUGUAGGACGAGUUGGUAAAAUAACAAGAAUGACACAAAUUGGGAGGAUCACCACCUUAUGUGGGUGGACAUAUGGAAUUCUCAGAGGAAUGCUCGAGUGGAAAAUGAUCACACACCCGACAACGACGAAGGGGCAUAUUUAGGGCAUUUAGAGUGGCUUCGCAAAGAGUACAGAGUUAUCCACAAGGGUGUGUGGACUCGUGUCGAUUUCUUGGACCUAAUGCCAAGUGAGGCCUUUGAUGGUGCAUUCAACAUCUCUAUUAGGGAGACCAUUGGAGCACACUUAGAUUAUGGCCCUCUGCAUGACCGAGGGGUAUGUCUCUCUUGUGCCUCUCUUUUGAAAUAUGAGCACGUGUCAUUUCUUUGUGAGUGGUGUGCCACAUACGUUCUAUUCAGGGCACAGAGCUAUGGAGAUGUAUCAAUGAUAGUAAUGUGGUGCUUCGCCGUGCCCCUGGUUCAAAAACGGACGAGCUUGUUAGGAGUACUCUACAGGUUAGAGGCCUAGUUAAUAUGAACUUGUUAUUUCUUUCAUUGUAACUUUUUUUGCAUAUUAACAUGUCAAUAUAUUUCCUUAUGCACAAAGUCGUGAAUCAUUGCUGCACCCUAGCCACUUUACUCUCUUUCCACGCUGGUUCAUCCACGGAUGUGCGGGCACGUGCUUAUUAUAGAAUGGAUGUGCUUUCUUCCGCUCGUGCUUCUUUGAGGGAGCUCGUGCUUCUUCGAGCGGGGCUCAUGCUUCUUUGAGCGGAGCUCGUGCUUCUUCGAGUCAAGCACGGAUUGAGGAAGAUGAAUAGUAGAUAGAUAAAGAAGCGAUUCUGCACUAUGUGGAACUCGGGGCUUCGCAGAUGAAAGAAGCUCCGUAGCCAACUCAACCUUCUCAGCCGUCAGAACAAGCACGACAAGCUAGUUCAAGAACUAGUCGACGUCCACAAUGGCAGAGCACUCCAGAGGGGUACAUCAAAAAGGGCAAGUUACCUUCGAAAAGAGGGAGGAAGUGAAGUGAUGACUGAUGCUUUAUGUUUCCUGAACUUGUCAUAUAGCUUUGUGUCUUCCAUCUUGAAAAGAGGGAGGAAGAAUUGAAUGCAUGAACUUGUUAUGGUUUAUGUCUCGUGAAUUUGUUAGUACUAUGUGUCCUUAACUUGUGAAAAUAUGUGAUAAUGCUAUGUGUGAUGGACUUGUUAAUUUUGUUGUGACAAUAUUAGAAAUUUUCGUAGAGCUGAAAGUUCUGUGAUUGCCAUAGUAGGCCAGCAAUGCCAUAGACAAUGGCGUUUCCAUGUAGGCUGGUAACACCGAUGGCUUUGCAUUUCCAGCCCACAGGGAAACGUUCCCUUCGCAUGUCUCUUGCAGCUCCUGUCUUAAAGAAACGCCAGGGAAUCCGGAGGCUUAUAUGCUUGGAACACGAACUGUCCUGGCGUUUCCAGGAAACAUAGCAACGCCAUGUCCUUUGGCGUCUGUCUAGGAACAGAAAAUGCCCCACACAUGCUAUACAAUCACAUUUUUUGGUACACUAAAAAUGUCACGUAACACAUAGCAGAACUAGAAAAUACACAUGCGAGUUCAUAGGGUACACAUAGAGUAGUCCUUAGCAAUUUAGAGUACACACGGAGUAGUCCAUAGCAAUUUAGAGUACACACGGAGUAGUCCAUAGCAACUUAAAGUUCGAAGAUCAUAAUGUAGGCGACGAGAAGGUUUAAAAUAAAAUGCAUGAUGAGAACCAGAGUGCUCUAUUGUGUAGAGCAAGGCCCCUUUUCUUUUUUCUUCUUCCUCUCUUCUUCUUUCUCCUCCUCCGUUGACGGAGUAGUGAACGACUUAAACGAGAAGGCUACACAUGCGGAGUUAAGAUCCUUGCAAAGAUCCUUGUUCUUACAAGCCAUGUAAAAGUUUGCAACAGAGUGCCUCAUACACCAUCGAUGGUGAAGCCUCGCAUGCCCUGGAAUGUGAAUAUCCCGGCCUUCAAUAUGCCUUGGUGCCGAUCGGAUAUGAUGCAUACCUCCCUAUUUGAAGGAAUGACUGUGGUCCUCACUAGUCUCAUGAACCAUUCCUAGUUGUCUUGGUUCUCGACGGCCACGAAAGCAAAUGCCAAAGGCGACACCUGAUCAUUAGCAUCAUGUGCCAUUAGCAUCAUGUGCCAUUGCUAUAGUGAGUGUGCCCUUGUAUUUGCCUAUCAAGAAUGUUCCAUCUACAGACAUAACCGGACGACAAUGCUCAAAAGUUGCAAUGCAUGGGCCAAACGUCUAGAAGGCAUUACGGAACACUCCUUCAAUAUCUUGAACAUAUUGGUACAUUCCUUGGUUUCUGUAGGACAUCGCUCCCAACAACCUGGGUAGCAUGUUGUACGCCUCUUCCCAUCCGCCAUACAAAAUUCUAAGAUAGACUUGCUUAGCCUCCCAUGUCUUCCCGUACUUGACCUUAUAUCCAAACUUAUCGUCAACCCAACUCAUCAACAACUUCACUUUAAUGGUUGGAUCCUUGGCUAUAUAUUUUUGGUAUUUAUAACCGAUGAAUUCCGAGGUUAGUUGACGGUGUGUCUUCCAUGCUUCUAGGUCGGCGGUGUGCAUUGGUGAGUGGCUUUGCAACUUGUUAUCUUCCACCAACUAUAUUUUGUGAUUUUUCCGUUGAAUUUCCAUUUGCAUAUUUCUACUUCACAUUUCAUGCUGUAUCACUAGUUGCUAUCAGAGUGAACAACUAUCAAAGGUAUGUGGUGUUUGACAGCAUACUCACACAACCACAUCUUGAAUUCUAGCAUGUGCUCAAACAUCAAACCUUUCUUUAGGUAAGACAUCGAAAUCUCGUCGGGUGUACUACUUGGGAACUGUCUAGCCUCAGUUGUCUUGCUCACGUCACCGUCGACUAUAGCCUUAUUUGCAAGGCUAGCAUCACAAAAUGAGGGAACUUUGUGAUCCCUAACUUUCUCAGUGAAGCCAUCCUCGUCCAACUCAUUCACCGGGCCUUCAUCAUCCGAGUCAUCCACACAAGCACGUUGAUAGAUAAUGUCAGGAUCCAUGUUACUUGAGUCUCUACGUCACCCACAUUGUUGUGCUGCCUCUCAUACUCUUCCUGGGAGUCAUGACCAUCAUUACUAGGUGCACUACCUGCGAACUCAUAUUUGGGAUACUUAUUGGCUUGCACUUCAACUUUAUGCUCAACAUCAUCUACCAAGUUUUGGUUCAAGUCAACUUGAAAAAGAGGACCUUCCAUCUUACUUGCAAACAAUUCUAGUUACUUGAUUGUCGACGAUGCAACAACCUCCUUAUAUGCAGCCCAAUGCAAAUUGGACCUAAUAGGCAUUGUCUUCAUUCGACACUUGUGUGCCGACCCAACAUUAUAUCUUCCUACUAAUUCAACUUGGUCACUUGCAUCAACCCACUUUAAUCUUGUCCUUGUUUCCUCCACAACCUCAUCAUAACUAGGACCCUCAAGAUAUAUCAACACUUCCUCAUACUUGUCAACAAUAUCAACAUUCAUGAAUGCCUCUUUGUCGACAUAAUUAAUAUUCACAAUAUUUUUCAUCUAAAAAAGACAAACAUAAGUACAAUAAACAUACCAAAUUGCUAAUAAAACGACUUUGUCCAUCCAAAUUAAGCAUUACCAAGCAUUAUCCAAACCCUAACUCUAACCCUAAAUCUUAACAUUAGGCAUAACCCAAACAAUAAGGUUUGUUUACCAACAUCACAAUGCAACACUAUUGAAAUAACAAUGCUCAGCCACAUCAUAUUGUAGAACCAUGUUCAAAACUAGGGUUAGGAACCACAUGAACAAAACAAUCCAAAUAGACAAAUCCAACCAAUAAAAAUGUGUGAGAUGAAGGAGGUUACCUUAAGGAACGGAAAUGACACCGGAUAGACAUACCCAAUUCAAUCAAUUUGCAAGGAUUUGAGAGGGGCCAAGUGAGGGACACAAAGGGGGGAAAGGGAGAGAGCUCGGGAUAGCCCAAUGGGGGAGAAGGGAGUGAGUGGUGUGUGACUGCUGAGAGCUGCACGUCCAUCUACAAACUGGAUCGGCGUUUCUGGUCUGCCACGUCAGCGAACAACGCGUGCUGGGUCUGACAGUGGGCAAGGACACAAACACAAUCUGGGCUGGUGUUUCCAUAUUUUCCAGAAACGCUAUCUACCUCGUUGUUUCUGUAUUGUGCUGAAACGCCGCGGUCCAUGACAUUGCCAAAAGGAUAAGAUCGUGAAAUACUUUCGUCUUGAAUUCAAUUUGUGACUAUCGUCACUCACAAGGUCAGAACAAUGGUUUCGACCUUCCGGGAACAAAUCCAUACACGUUGACGUUCAUAACAAAGUGGAAGGAAGUAAAUUUUCAUCUAAGACGAACGUAUAGAGGAGCUAGCCAACAAAACGCAAGCAAGUUGAAGAAACCGUAGCUACAACUUCCUUUAUUUCUAAAUAUAAGUCUUUGUAAAUUUUUCAUUAAAAGACUACAUACGAAUAUAUAUAAACAUAUUUUAAAAAAUAUAUUUAUUUAUUUUAUUUUGUACAUAGCUUACUAAUAAAAUAUUUAAAAAGAUUUAUAUUUAGAAACGAAGGGAGUAGAUACAUAGCUUCUUCCAUAGGGGACCGCGGCAAAAGUUGUUGGUUGGAGCAAAAAAGGCCAGACGUCACGCCCCAUGUCGAGACGUACAGACACGACGAGUAGUCUCGAUCAACCAUACGUACGUCUCCAAGGUUUGAAUAAUCCCGAUGGCGACGGCCCAUCAUAAACUUCUUUCCAAUUGUGGGGGCGCCCCGCUGGCCACGACGACGUCGAGCUGAUCCAUGGUUCGGGUGAUGACUGAAAUGGGUCUACGAGUCUAGAUACAUCCAAUAUGCAAUACAAAAUGCACAUCCACCGGAAAAUCAUCUACAUGCUUGCGUACGUGGCGACUGAGAUGGGAUCAUGACUGAAAUGGCAGCAUCUUGAUUUGCACGAACCGUUUUCUUGUCUUCCGGACGCUCUGCACAAACGUUGAUACUCUAAUUUCAGUGACUGUUGCUUUUGCUAGACACAUCCAGCCAUGUGAGUAGGUUAAUACUUUUGCUACACACAUCCAGCCAUGUUGUAUUGCAUACUGAAUGUACCUAGACGUGUAGAUCAACUCAUUUCAGUGACUGUUAAUGCCGUAUAUAUAUAUGUGUGCUGGUUUAUUACUUGGUGAAAACUUUCACGUCAAUUUUUUUUCCGAUACGUCAAGUUUGUUGUUGUCGAUGGUCGGCCAGCUUUACUACUGCCUACUGCGGUGGGUGGGUGGGUGGGUUUCCGCCGACCGACAAGUCGGGAUUAGAGAGCUGCCAGCCGGCCUUGGUCUGUGCCUUCGACCCUUCGUGGAGGUCCACCGGAAGUCUGGAACGAAGGGAUGCCCGUAGACACAUGUCCUCCGCCUCCAUGCACGGCACCCACGUCACCGGCCGCCAUGCAUGCCCAUGCACCAUCAUCAGAAUUUUAUACUCCAUGGCACGCCACGUCCGCGCGCGUGCAAGGCUGAGUUGGCACAGUACAUUCAUCGCAGCUUAAUUUGACAGCUAAGGACAUCUAGAACCGCAUUUUCCAAAUCCGACCAGUCCGCAGACGCGCCCGCGUGAGUUCACGAUAUUAAUCGAUGGCGAAGAUGCAUUCAAUAUUCUCAGAGCAUCUCCAACAGCCGCGCUUCACGUCGCGUCAAAGAAAUAUUUUUACAGCGCGCGCCGUCUGGUUUAGCGCAGGGAUAGGCGCUGACUCCAACAGCCACGUUAUAAUGCAGCGCGUGCAUGCCGCUCCAGCAGUGCCAAAAAAUGCAGCGCGUGCAGCAGGCACAAACCACAUAUACAUUUCAAAAAAUAGGAAAAAACGAUCAAACAAACAAAAUAAAUCAACAAUAAAUAGUUAUUACAACUCAAACAAAUAGUUUAUCGUUCAGUACAACCAAUAAUGCAAUAAACACAACCAAUAGUUCAUGAAAAAUACAAUACAAAUAAUACAAUCAAAUCAUGCUCUUUGUCGUCCAUGCCAUGCCCACCACUCUUCAAUCAGAUCCUUCUGAAGAUCAUUGUGUGUUGCGGGACGCCGAAUGUCAUGAUACGAGGCAACAAAACGGGCUAUCCUUUCAGCCCUCCGUCGCACUCGCACGAGAUGUCCCAAGAGCUCAUACUGUGAGUAGUCUACAUCUUGGCCACGCUCAUUCUCGAUGAUCAUGUUGUGCAUGAUCACACAAGCGUGCAUGAUGUACCAAAGCAUUUUUUGAUCCCAAAAUCUAGCCGGUCCUCUCACAAUAGCAAAUUGGGCUUGCAAAAUCCCAAAUGCUCUCUCCACAUCUUUUCUAGCAGCCGCCUGAGCAUUGUGAAAAUCAAGAUUUUUCUUACCUUCUCGCUUUUUCAACGGCUUCACGAAGGUUUGCUACUUUGGAUAGAUGCCAUCCGCUAGAUAAUAGUCAUAGUUGUACGUACGGCCAUUUGCUACAAACUGCACCGGUGGCAACUCAUCAUUCGCAAUCUUAUUCAUCAGUGGUGACCGGUUGACAACAUUGAUGUCAUUCAAAGAUCCAGGCAUUCCAAAGAAUGCAUGCCAAAUCCAAGUCUCAUGAUCGGCAAUCGCUUCAAGCAUUACAGUGGAACCCUUUUUUUGGCCGUGGAAUUGCCCAUGACAUGCCUUUGGACAAUUCUUCCAACUCCAAUGCAUGCAAUCUAUUGAGCCAAGCAUGCCAGGAAAGCUGCGAGAUUUGUUCAUCGCCAAUAGCCUUGGGGCGUCUUCAGCAGUGGGAGAUCUCAAAUACUCCUCGCCAAACACUUGCACAAUUCCCACUUCAAAGCGCUUGACACACAUGAUGGCUUGGCUCUCACCCAUAGCCAAGUGAUCAUCAACUAAAUCAGCCGGGAUACCGUAUGCCAACAUACGCAAAGCGGCAGUCACCUUCAGAAAGGUGCUAUGCCCGAGCUCUCCGGCGGCAUUCCUCCUUUGCUGGAAAAAUCGGUCAUGACUCGCUAGUUUCUCUGCAAUGCGCUUGAACAAGUUUGUGCUCAUCCUAAACCGACGACGAAAAUACGACUCCGGGUAUGUGGGAUUCUCCACGAAAUAGUUCUUCAUCAAUUUGUUAUGGGCAUCAAUCUUAUCUCUCCAAAAAAUUUCCCGACCCAUAACCGAACCACCGUGCUUCGGUUUUUUAUUGAUAUGCAUAGCUAUGAUCAUUGCAAGAUCCUCCUUCUCUUCCAUAUCAAAUUCUUCUUCGGAAGAAUCAUACGACGAACUCAUCUACAAUGUUCAAUACUAUACUAUAAAAACUACAAUUCAAAACAUGCACCAAAUUCAUAAGUUUGAAGCAAUACAUACCUUGUAGGCGUUUUGUCGAACACCUUGCGGGCGCGGCGCGGCAGCGAGCGCUCGGGCGCCGUUCCUCGGACGUCAGAGGCGCGCGAGGGCCGUCCGGACUAGGAGGGGGUGGGGCGGAAGCGCGGCGACGCGGGGAGGCCGGGGAAGCGCCUGAACGGUCGCCGGGGGUGCGGGCGGCGGCCGCAGCGGAGACAGGCCGGGGAAGCGCUUCAGUGGUCGCCGGCGGGCGUGGGCGGCGACGGCGGCUCGGGGAUAGGCCGGGGAAGCGCCGAACGGUGGCGCGAGCGGCGGCGGCGGCGCGGUCGGAUGGGGGCGGUCGCGAGAGUGCAGAGCGAGCGCAGGAGAGUGUAGAGCCAGCGCAGGAGAGAGCAGGAGAGAACGCAGGAGAAAGCAGGAGCGAGCGCGGGAGAGUCGCGCGCGCGGGAGCCGGCGCAGCAAAUAAUGGGCGCGGGAUUGCGUUUCGGCCAGCGCGCUGAAUUGGAAAUGGCGCGCGCACCGUUUUUGCGCGCGCGCGCUAAAAACUGCCUUUUUUACGGCGCGGCGCUUGUAUAGCGCGCCUGUUGGAGAUGCUGUGAUACCUUAAAUUGAAAAUCUUAAAUUCAUUCAUAAUAUUACAUGUAACAUAAACCUAAUAGUUCCUUCGUCCCAAAAUUCUUGUCUUAGAUUUGUUUAGAUACGAAUGUAUCUAGUCAAGUUUUAGUAUUUAGAUAAAUUCAUUUUUAGACAAAACUAAGACAAGAAUUUUAGGACGGAGGGAGUACUAAAUGAAGCUCACCCGACGGAUCCAUGUAUGACAGUUUGAUACGUCCCUUACAGUGUCGGUCCGGCCAACGGUGAGGUAGAAUAGAACAUGGAACAUUAGCCGACUCCCGUCGUUUCCCAUGCCCUACUCUUCCUCGCCAGAGCCGAUAACCCGAACGGUGACAGUCGACGUGAGGUCGAUGAUGGAUCCUUCCUGUAAGGAGCCGACGUCCACUACGACGCGUUUGCGUCGCCCGCAUUGGUACCUUAUGAGGCGCCGAAGAGUGUGACUCCGCCUCUCCAACAUCCACUGUCGUGAGGGCCUCCGUUGCAUUCCGUGCCCGCUACCUCGCCAAGCGGGCACGCCACGCCAUGACAUCGUCUGAGGACGGGUAUGCUACGUGCUCAGCGUGCCAAUAGAGGGGUUGCGCUUCCGCCAUGGUGUUCAGACUGUUGGAAUUAUGCCCUAGAGGCAAUAAUAAAUGUAUAGUUAUUAUUAUAAUUCCUGUAUCAAGAUAAUAGUUUAUUAUCCAUGCUAUAAUUGUAUUGAAUGAAGACUCAUUUACAUGUGUGGAUACAUAGACAAAACACCGUCCCUAGCAUGCCUCUAGUUGGCUAGCCAGUUGAUCGAUGAUAGUCAGUGUCUUCUGAUUAUGAACAAGGUGUUGUUGCUUGAUAACUGGAUCACGUCAUUGGGAGAAUCACGUGAUGGACUAGACCCAAACUAAUAGACGUAGCAUGUUGAUCGUGUCAUUUUGUUGCUACUGUUUUCUGCGUGUCAAGUAUUUAUUCCUAUGACCAUGAGAUCAUAUAACUCACUGACACCGGAGGAAUGCCUUGUGUGUAUCAAACGUCGCAAACGUAACUGGGUGACUAUAAAGAUGCUCUACAGGUAUCUCCGAAGGUGUUAGUUGAGUUAGUAUGGAUCAAGACUGGGAUUUGUCACUCCGUAUGACGGAGAGGUAUCUCGGGGCCCACUCGGUAAUACAACAUCACACACAAGCCUUGCAAGCAAUGUAACUUAGUGUAAGUUGCGGGAUCUUGUAUUACGGAACGAGUAAAGAGACUUGCCGGUAAACGAGAUUAAAAUAGGUAUGCGGAUACCGACGAUCGAAUCUCGGGCAAGUAACAUACCGAAGGACAAAGGGAAUGACAUACGGGAUUAUACGAAUCCUUGGCACUGAGGUUCAAACGAUAAGAUCUUCGUAGAAUAUGUAGGAUCCAAUAUGGGCAUCCAGGUCCCGUUAUUGGAUAUUGACCGAGGAGUCUCUCGGGUCAUGUCUACAUAGUUCUCGAACCCGCAGGGUCUGCACACUUAAGGUUCGACGUUGUUUUAUGCGUAUUUGAGUUAUAUGGUUGGUUACCGAAUGUUGUUCGGAGUCCCGGAUGAGAUCACGGACGUCACGAGGGUUUCCGGAAUGGUCCGGAAACGAAGAUUGAUAUAUAGGAUGACCUCAUUUGAUUACCGGAAGGUUUUCGGAGUUACCGGGAAUGUACCGGGAAUGACGAAUGGGUUCCGGGAGUUCACCGGGGGGGCAACCCACCCCGGGGAACCCAUAGGCUUUUGGGGAGCCACACCAGCCCUUAGUGGGCUGGUGGGACAGCCCACAAGUCCCCUAUGCGCCAAGGAUAAAAAUCAAAGGAGAAAAAAAAAGGGGGGAAGUGGGAAAGGGGAAGGACUCCCUCCCACCAAACCUAGUCCAACUCGGUUUGGGGGGGGGAGAGUCCUCCCCCCUGGCUCGGCCGACCCCUUGGGGAUCCCUUGGACCCCAAGGCAAGGUCCCCCUCCCUCCUCCUAUAUAUAUGGGGCUUUUAGGGCAGAUUUGAGACGACUUUCUCACGGCUGCCCGACCACAUACCUCCAUAGUUUUUCCUCUAGAUCGCGUUUCUGCGGAGCUCGGGCGGAGCCCUGCUGAGACGAGAUCAUCACCAACCUCCGGAGCGCCGUCACGCUGCCGGAGAACUCUUCUACCUCUCCGUCUCUCUUGCUGGAUCAAGAAGGCCGAGAUCAUCGUCGAGCUGUACGUGUGCUGAACGCGGAGGUGCCGUCCGUUCGGUACUAGAUCGUGGGACUGAUCGCGGGAUUGUUCGCGGGGCGGAUCGAGGGACGUGAGGACGUUCCACUACAUCAACCGCGUUCUCUAACGCUUCUGCUGUACGAUCUACAAGGGUACGUAGAUCACUCAUCCCCUCUCGUAGAUGGACAUCACCAUGAUAGGUCUUCGUGCGCGUAGGAAAAUUUUUGUUUCCCAUGCGGCGUUCCCCAACACAGACGCCAGACGAAACGCACUGUCUUCGGUGAGGCAGCGACGCCGGAUUCAAGCAUCGGUUCUGCGGACGCAAUGGAUUCCCGGCGUUGCAAGUCCGAGCGCUGUUGUCAUGCGGCCGCCUCCCGGGAGCAACGGAGCGCAAGACGGACGGCCAUCUCCUCCUCUGUGUCGCGUGUGACGAGCUCCUGGUCGACGGGCCUGGAGCUGAAGGACUCAGAUCCGCUGCCCGCUAUGCUGGCGGUGAGCUUGGGUGGCGGAUGGGAGUUGAGGAGAGUGGAGUGUAGUGGCUUGGGUUUGGUCCGACGAGCGAAUGGGGACGAACAUAUGUGGGGUAGAUGCGGGCCAACGCGGGGCACUGCGGGGCAGGCGACGUUCCCGGGCGCGUCCGGGAUACCCCAUAUCCAUUUCAUAUUUGGGCUGGAAAUGAGUGGUGCCGGUCAGCCCGGGCAUUUAUGACCGAUUUGAGGGGCCCGUCUGUGUCGCUUUUUCAUGAGUGGGCGGUCUGCCCGGACAUUUGAGAAGGGUUUGAGGGAUCCAGUUGUAGAUGCUCUAACAGCCACAACCUGCAAAUACGAAUCCUUAAACACCUGCGGACGCGCCCGGUCACGUCUGUGGGCACUGGCCGGACAACCCUUAAAUUUGGUACUCGGCAUCUCCAUAUCUUAUAUCGGACAUUUUAUAUCCAUACUACACACAUGCCAUAGAGGUGUUAUACGUGAUCAAGCACCGUCUUCGUCAUUGGAGUCGGAAAGGACGAUGAGCCCCUUCAUCCGAUGGACCGCCUCGUCCUCUUCCCGCUUUGGCUUGAUGAUCCAAGCCGCCUCCGCCGCUACGUCCUUCGCAACACGCUCUGACUGCUUGAUAGCAAGCAGGAGCGUCUUGGCGUUCUUUCGUCGAAGGCAUCGAGCCUCCGUUUUCGCCGUCGUGAGGGACCGGCGUGCGGUACACCUAGACGAGGAGGCGUUCGUCCUUGUUGGGCUCCGCCGGCAUCCCGCGACGGGAGUGUGCAGACUGCUCCGCCGCUUCCCUCUCCCUUGCCCCCUGCCUUUCACGGUGGACAGCGCACGCCUCCGAUUCCGGAGUGCGCGUGCAGACCAACGACACAGGCACUAGCACCCGUCGAUGCCCGUGUGGAGGAGCGGUCCUUGAGGGAACAAUGGUGGGCCGGGCCUGUUAGGUAGGACGUGACGGACACGUCCAAGCAUGCCCAGGCUGCUCCAUAUCCGUUCUAGAUUUGAACUGAAUAUGGAGGGUGUCGAUAAAUCCGUAUGUCUAUGAAAAAUUUGAAAGGUUUAGAUAGGUCAUGUUUUUUUAACCGGUCAUAAAUCAGCAAGUUUGUCCGAACGUUUGAGACGGGUAGGAGUCUUCUCCUGUAAAAUGCUCUAAUUGGACCGACAAUCCGCUGGCCCGCUGCAUCCAUAUUCACGUCUCACGUGUUGCAGGCGGUCCUUAAACUGAGCAGCAUGUGCGACUAGGCACCUGUGGUUCAGCGGCACCUCUUCUCUCCGUCUCCUAUGACUACCCUAGCUGUGAUCAAGUUGCUGUAUUUAUAUCGUGUGGAGUAAAGCAGAUUAAGAUAAAGCAAUAAUUGAGUACAGUCCACCUAGCAGAUGAAGAGCACGCUAGCGGACAGCACGCCUACCUCAUGGGCGGGACCCGCGCCAGCCUCUCACGGUCCGUGAGCAAUCUCCAUUCUCCUCAUCACAUAUCCACAGCUCAGCUCACCGUGGAGCUUCCAGAGACACCACAAACAUUCAUAAAAAAAGGCACUCUCCGGUGGAGGACUGCAUAUAUACACCAUACACAUACACACUCUCGGGCUCAACAAUCAGCAAGAGCAGCCUCAUCUUUGGUUGGCCGUAACUGGUACGUAGGAUCUGAAAGCUUGAGCUCGAUCUACCACCGCCGCUUCUGCUCUUCCUCGAGCAAUUUUUUUCAUUCCGUUUUACUAGCGAUUUGCUUGGCUGUUCAACGAUUCUUUUCUGACAAAAGAAGAUGCAAGAGCAUUUUUAGUUUUUUACCCCUUGCACAUGCACUGCUGACUUCCCCCAUUGUUCUUCUGACAAAGGAACAUGCCGCUUUAAGCAUAUUUUCCCUUCCUUCUCCCACUCCCAGAUCUGUCUCCGGAGCAGAUUCUAGAGCUUCCUGGUCCAUCUUGCAUGUUUUUUUUCCUUUGCUAAUGCCUUGCAAGUGCUUAUUUAUACAUGAUGGUUGUGGUUUCCCGGGCAGAGGCAGACCUAUGAAUCUUCUUGCAUGUUGACUUGCUGAACUGUUCCAUCCAGAGCUCUUCUCUAGUUAACAUCUUCAUUUUUCAGUGGUAACCGAGGCUGGGUCUGAUGUGUAGACAGAUUCAGUUUUUUAAGGAAAGCCGUCAUCUUUCUUACCUGUACUGACUGUUGUUCACAAUUUCCUGAAGCCGCCGUCACAAAGAUCAGAUGUAUCUGGUGAAGGACAUCGGCGGAGCCAUCGGGCUGAUGGCGGCGGCCUUGGUGCUCCUCGGCACCUGGCCGGUCGUCCUCGCCGUGCUGGAGCGCCGGGGACGGCUGCCGCAGCACACGUACCUCGACUACUCCAUCACCAACUUCCUGGCCGCCGUGCUGAUCGCCCUCACAUUCGGCCAGAUCGGCGGCGACACGCCGGAGACGCCCAAUUUCCUCACUCAGCUCACCCAGCCGCAGGUAGCUCAAUUAUCACUGUCGUCAUUCCUUCCUCGCAUCGCAUAGAAAGAAAGGGUCAACAUGUAUAUGCAAGACUGAAAUUCAGACAGCACCUGAAGUUGGCCUGGCUUUCAGCCUUUCUGAACUGAAGUUUAACUGACAUAAGUGAAGCCACAAGUUCAGUUGGUACAUCAGGCUUUGCUCAGUGUAUAUGAUGGUGCAAUUGUCCUAACUAUAUCUGUAUUGAACGAACAAUCCAGGACUACUGGCCGUCCAUCAUGUUUGCGCUGGCGGGCGGCGUGGUGAUCACCCUCGGCACCGUGGCCACGCAGUACGGCUGGGCAUACGUCGGGCUUUCGGUCACCGAGGUCAUGGCCUCAAGUCUCAAGGUUGUCAUAGGUAGGAAGUACAUGGAUGUUUCAAGCUGCAGCUGUUCCAGCAUCAUUAUCUGAAGAUAAGUGAAUGACUGAAAUUACUGUUGUAGGGACGACACUGAACUAUUUUCUGGACGGCCGGAUCAACAGGGCGGAGGUUCUCUUCCCCGGCGUCGGAUGUUUUCUGAUUGCAGCGUGCCUAGGCUCACUUGUCCACUCCUCUAAUGCUGCUGACAACCAGGAGAAGCUAUCAAACUCCAGAAACUACUCUACUGGGUACAGUCUCAUCUCUGCUUCUGCUUCUUCCUUUCCAUUUGGUGAAAGUAAGGAACGGGCUUCUUUCCUUUUCACCAAAAUUUUAGUUGUGGAUCUGUGAAUAUUUUAAGCACUGCAUCUGAAGAUCACUUUGCUGAAUUCUUGACAGGAACACUGCAAAGGAAGAUCUCACCCAGCGCCUCCUUGAAGAAGGUACUUUCCCUUCAAAGAAACAACUUGUGUCAUUAUAAUCAGAAAAUGAUCAUCUUUCAAUCACCGUCAAAAAAGUAAUAAUCAUUCAAUUGACAACAGAGGAACCAAAGGAUUGUGAAGAAGCAAAGCCCGCACUACCAAAGGCGGUGGAGAAAGUCGAGGCAGGAACAGCAGAUUUCCUUAUUGAUCUCGAGGACAAAAGAUCAAUCAAGGUAGGUACCUGAAGAAUAGUAGUACUUUAUCAUGAUUGAACUGCAGAGCUUCCCUGCAAAAAAACGAAGAAACAAUGAAAAUCCAUAUAUUUCUCGGAGUAGAACUGAACAUCAUUUACCUGCAGACAUUUUCUGAACAACCAAAGAACACACAGUAUGUGUUUUCUUUUGCUGACGAUCGAGGAGAUGAACAUCUCACAGGUCCUCGGGUCCAACACGCUGGUGGGGCUGGCGAUCGUGACGUUCGCGGGGGUGUGCUACUCGCUGUUCGCGCCGGCGUUCAACCUGGCGACCAACGACCAGUGGCACACGCUGCGCGACGGCGUGCCGCACCUGGUGGUCUACACCGCCUACUUCUACUUCUGCCUCUCCUCGCUGGUCGUCGGCGUGGCGCUCAACGUGUGGUGCCUCUACCGCCCCGUGGCCGGCGUGCCGCGGUCGACGCUGCGGGCGUACCUCGCCGACGGGGAGGGGAGGGGGCUGGCGCUGCUGGCGGGGAUGGUGUCCGGGCUGGGCAACGCGUUCACGUUCAUGGCCGGGCAGGCGGCCGGGUACGCGGCGGCGGACUCCGUGCAGGCGCUGCCGCUGGUGAGCACGUUCUGGGGCGUGGUGCUGUUCGGGGAGUACCGGAGGUCGUCGAGGAGGACGUACACGCUGCUGGGGAGCAUGCUCUUCAUGUUCGUCGUCGCCAUGUCCGUGCUCAUGGCCUCCUCCGCGCACAGGAAGCCGCUCUGACGCAACCAACGCUGCUCAUGCAUGGCAUGGCGAUCGGGAGCUUGGGUAGCGACGGCAGAGAGGCUAGCAAGUUCUUCGAUGAGGACGGAUGUUGUGUAAACUUGGACGAGUGCGAUGCAUGCCACAUCUUACCGAUGGUUAGAAAAUUCAGGCACCGUAAUUAUAAGCAAAUGGUGUGGCUAUAUCUUAGUCGACUCAAUACUUAAUCAAGUCUCAAUUAAAUGACAUAACAUUAGAGAAACAAGAAAAAAAAAUACACGGAUCUCGCUGUAAGACCUCACAAAUAGUUUAGCUGAGACAUUACAAAGUCACUGUUAAGGAAAGUACAGACAACUCAUAACCCUUAGAUUUCUCUUAACUUCACAUAACGCAAUCUAUUAGAGCAUGUCCAAUAGAUGUUAUAUAUAUAAAAAUAACUAACUUAUAAAACACUUAGGCUCAAAAACAGUGCCGCGAUCUAUUAGAGCAUCUUCAAUAGAUGUUGUAUAUAUAAAAAUAACUAACUUAUAAAACACUUAGGCUCAAAAACAGUGCUUCAAGAGGUGUUGUAUCUCCCCUGCGCGCUUUUGUCGUCCGUCAUCGGUCAUUUUACAGAAAAGCCCUUAUAGUUUCAGUUAAUUAACCCGCGGUUCAACUUUAAGUCAGAACAAACCGUUUUCUGUCCUUUUGCAGAAAAGUCCUCACAGUUUUAGAUAAUCAACCCGCGGUCCAUCUUUUAGUCGGUGCCGAACCGUAUUUUGCAUUUUAUAGAAAAACUCCUUGAUGUUUCAGGUAAUCAACCCGCCGUUCCUAUUUAAGUCAGCCGAAACGUUUUUUUGUUUUAACAAAAAAAACCCCGACUUUUCUUUUAACCAAUCCAGAUUUUAUCUAAAACAAAAUUAUCCAUAUCUUUUAAACCGUAACUCCGAUUUUAACAUAUUAUAUAUGAAAUUUGAUUGAAAAAAUGUGUAAAAUUUAAACAGGAUGUUAUUUUUAGCUGUUGAAUACUUCUUCAAUAUUAUUUUUGGUGCAAACUUAAUCUGUAAUGCACUGUCUUUUUCUCUCUCUUUCAGACGACCAUACGAAUUGCAAUAAAUAUCCAUUAAAUUAAAACCAAAUCGAGAGGAAAGGAAACAUCGUUAACAUACAUGCACACCUUUGAAAAAUCUCGUGGGGAGAAACAACAUAUUUCUCAUCUUAUUCCGAGUGAUUGUACAUUCAAACGCGUUUUCGUUGUGUGAGCACUGAGUUCAUCGUCGACAACACAAAUGUGCUAAUAUAUUACGUUCAAAGCGUGUGUUAUUUUCUCUUCCGUUGCAACGCAUGGGCUUUUUUGCUAUAUGUAAAUUUUUUUACAACAAACGUUGUAAGAAUUUGACCUUGGUAUUGCAAAUACACAACACAAGGGCUAGGUGUUGUAAAACGGCCAGCCGCGCGUCAACCUCCAACCGCUCUUCCGAUUCCUUUCCCGCGCCCGCCAGCCGCUGCCCGAACUUGCCGCCGGCCAGAUCCGCCGCCUCCCGACCACACCGACCACCGCCGAGCCCGCCGCGACUUCGCCGACCUGUUCCCGGCCGCCUUGCGCGCUCGCGAGCUGCCCGAUUUGGUCUCGGCCGCCGACCAAAUUCACGGUGGCCAGAGCUUCUCCAACGACCGUGGCUGGCCGAGGCGAUGGGGUAGGUUUUUGCCGCGGUCGUGUAGUCGUCGCCGCCCAACGGCCCGCGGCGCAGGUGCUGCCGCCGCCUGCCACCCGACGGCUCCCUCUCCUCGGUGAAGUGGCCGUCGUCGGCCUGCUAACCGCUCCGUCGCCGGCUGACUGCUACCGUCCACUGACCGCUCCGCCGCCCGGCUGCUGAUCUCACCGUCGACCGAUUUCUUCCACCUCGCAAACAAGGUGUUCGACAAAAUUCUCGAAGGUAAAAAUAGAUGAUCUUGAGCUUUUUUGUUGGAUGUAAAGUAGUUUACCGUUGAUUUCCCGCAUUGUAGAUGAGCUCGUGUGGCUCCUCUUACGUGGACAAUUACUCAUCCUCAUCGGAUGAUUAAUUUGUUUUGAACGAAGAAGAAGACAUUGCAAUGCUAGUUGAACGGAGCGAAUAAAAUGCUUCAUGAAGGUGUACAAUGAGAUUAGAGACUCUGAUUCACACGAUCAACUUCAGAGGAAUUUGAUGGAGGAGUAUUGAAAAUUCCAUGGCGAUAGAGCCGCCUAGUUUCAUUUAGUUGUUUCUGUAUUGUGCAAAACUAUGUUGUAUGUGUGAUCCAUUUGAUGUUGUGGAUUUGAUGAACUAUGUAAUAAUUUGAUAUUGUGGACAUGUAUAUUUUUUAUUUCAUUUUUGAUUGUUUUAAUAUGCAAAUGUGGCCGGCAGCCAACCAACAGUGGUUGUGUAGCCGAACAGCAGCAGCUUGGCAGCCGGCCGAUUUUUACAACACCGUUUACAACAUCUAUUGGAGUUGGCGACUAAUAACGCGAAUAUACAACAUCUGUUGGAGUUGGCUGUUUUUUGAUGUUGUAAAACACAUUUUUUGGUAUUGUAAAUUAUAAAACACCUAAUUUACAACACCUAUUGAAGAUGCUCUUAGGAAGGUAACACCCAACAAACAGAUCUCUCAAAUCUAUAAGAACUUCUCAAAAAAAAUUAAGGCUUCAAUAUACAUCCCACGUCAAAUUUUUAGCGUCAAAAGCGUCCUUGCCAGAUCUUGAUCCAACACACAUGUCAAUUACCCUCAUGUAACGUGGCAAUUUUUUUUGUCAAUUUUUUAUUUUACUCCAUCUGUUUCAUAAUUUGUGUCGUGUUUUUAGUUCAACCAUGGCUCAAUUAAAACCAUGAUCCACGCCAAAAAUUAUUAAACGGAUGGAGUAUGUGGUAAUUUUCACCUUAGAACAUUGUAAAUCUUUAUACAACGCCAUGACGAAUUUAUUCCUUUUUGCAUGACAAUUCUAGAGCAUUCAUUGGGAUUCACCAAAUGUCUGCUGUCAGAUUUUUAACAUUACCUAAAGUUUGAGAAGUUAAGCCUAAAAAAACUACAUUUUCGCUCAAAUUUAAGUAGGUCACACCCAUUCUCCCUAAAACUUGUCGCUCCUCCACUCGCUCAAAUAAUUGUGUGUCGGCCGACGCUAGUCCCGUUGACCCCAUGAUGGAAUAAAAGCUCGUCAGCUAACCCCGUCGGAGGACCAUAGGUUCUUAGAUGCACUUUGUGGGCGGGGUGCGUCUGUUCUUAGACACACUUUGACCACUAGACAUCUCAAGAGUAAGCAGUGCAUACACUCGAAGAUGAAAGCGUGGAUUUUCUACAUUUGAUUUGCAUGAAUGUCUAAUAAGAGAAAUUUUGACGCAUAAGGUUUUGCAUUCCAAAUGCAAAAGAAUCUCGUGGGUCACCAAGAUUUCCGGUUUCCAAAAAAUACCUGGUAGUUACCAGACAAUUUUUCUUAAUGAAUUUUACAUUCGAAUAAAUUAUUUUGUAAAAUAACAUUCAUAUCCAAAAAUUCGGGAUUUUCUAUUUAAUAAUGCAAUUCCUUGUGAGCUACCAAGAUUCGUGGUUAUCAAGCCUUAACAAAAUUUACCGCUGGAUAACCAAAACUUGGGUGAUACAUAAGUUUAUCAUGGACUCGUCCUUUAUUUCUUGUUGUAAGACUUCAAACAACGCAAUAAACUAGACCAUGUACACCAGGAUCAAACUCAAAGUGUUCUAAUUAUUUUAGCAUAAAAUAAAUUUAAGCACCAAACUUAAGUUUGUCUGGAGAUAUUCAAAAUUGCAUUUGAAAUUUCUUAAAAUUUGUGAACCUUGAUCAGGUAUUAAUAAAUUUCUAAACGGGAACUCGGGUACUUGGAUAACUGUCAAAGUCCGAAUACUUUAGUAUAAAAAUAUCCGUGUAUUCUAAAUGCGUGCAAUUUUUUAUGAAGAAUUAGUUUGGAAGGGCUCAUCGCAAGAAAUCAAUGAUAAAUACAUACCAUAAUUCCGACUCAGUUCCGAAGUUGCUGCCUUUCGGAACCUAAAAAACACACAAGAAAAUUCUGAACUUUGUCUCUUAUUUUUUUGGGGGGGGGGGGGGGGGACGAACUUUGUUUCUUUCUGUAUUGAGGACUAGUAAAAUGCCCGUGCUACGCUACGGAACCACAUGAAAGUAGAGCCAAAAGUAGUUUCUCCUUGUUCAGUUAUUCAAAACAUCCAAUCAAGAUCUUCUUAAGUUACAUAAGAAAUAACGGUUUAUUUGUUUCCUUAUCAUAUGUAUUAAUGGACAUUGUUGUACUUUGAAAGGUAAGCCAGAGCAUUAACAAUAUGUUUGCUUUUGCAUCAUCAUUUUAUCAAUACCCUAUGUUCUGAACUUUAGUACAUUCAAUAGGUUAGGAGAAUCAGCAUUUGAGAUCUCUUCACAUUUUACUGCAUCCCCAUUUAAAAUGGUAUGCCACAUUAACAACAUUCCUUGAAAAACACGCUUAUAGAUUUGAGAGGACUGAAAAUCAACAUAAGCCAUGCUUACAUACUAUCAAAUUGAUGUUUGGAUGUAGGUUAAAUAAUUCAAGGAUGGAUAGCAUGAGAUAAUAACUGAAGUUCUAUAAACGUAUGAAGAUUUGGUGUAUGUGCUUGAUGUCGCCACCCCAUGCCCACUCACCACCAUGUCCCUCAUCCACCCAAUAGCCUUGUCAACCUUAUUCACCGCACUAUAAUACCUCACAAUCGAGUUGUAUGUCACCCUGUUUGGCAUGCACCCCUUCUUCACCAUUUCGUCAAACACCUCGUGCGCACGCUCCACGUGGUACGUCUUGCACAGACCAUUGAUAUAGCAGUUGUAGGUCACAACGUCAGGCUCCAGCCCCUUCUCCCCCAUCCUCCGGAACAGCCUGCCGGCCUCGUAGAUCCUUCUCCUGGCGGCCUUCCGGCACCCGGUCCCCGCCCCGAUCCGGCAGUACCAGGAAAUGAGCACUGUGUAGGUGUAGGAGUCAGGCUUGCAGCGCGCGCCGGGGCGCUCCAUCUGGUCGAGCAGGAACCUGGCAUCCUUGAACCGGCCGUUCCGGCACAGCGCGGCGAGCAACGUGUUGUAGGACUGCGCGUCCGGGGAGCACCCACAAUGUCAAGGGCAGUGUCUUCUGCUGACUGCAGAAGCAUUAUGAAUCCCUUCAUGAUAUCACCUGUGGAAAAUAGUUCCAAGCUGAGCGAAGAAAGAAGUACAGAAGCCAUCUCCUUCUCCCUGUUCUUCCUGUCCAUAGCAAGAGUGAUGAGCUUCUUGAGGAACAUGGCGUUGUAUUCAGGGGCAGAAAGCUCUUGAAGGCUUCUAAUAAGUUCUGGGACGUCAUCGGAGAGGAAAUACUCCUGAAUUAUGUGAUCAGAUUCUUCUUUGAAACGCUUGACCUUUUCACUGCUUGCAUUCCACAUAUCUUCAUCAGGUGCAGCAGAUUUACAGAAUGAAGCAUCAAGCCACCCUUCAGAUAUGGCUGCUGAAAGCAGCUUGUCAAAAAGCGUUUUGGCUGAAGGAACAUCAAGGCUCAGGUCAUCAACACUCUCAGCAGCCCUAGAAAAACCCUUCGACACUUGAUUAGAACUGAUCAAACAACCCGUCGUUGAUUCCUUCAACAACUUCAGGAUUAAUGGUUGCGACGAUAGAUUCUCCAUACCAAGGAUGAGAGCACGUUUCACAACCUCGUGAUGGAAGAAUGGAAGGCCCAGCUCCCUUAUGCACCUAAAGGCUUCAUCUGUAUCACCACUCUCAAUGUACUCUCUCAGAAUAUCCUGGAUCCUCUUUUUCACCUCUUCUACAGUAAAGUGUGUGCUCCCGCCCCACAUGCGUUCAACUAACUCCGCAUGGUGAGGAGCUGACAAGUAACUCUUCUCAGCAACCUGCAGAACUUCAAUACCUUUUGAAGAUUCUGGAAGCAAUGCUCUGGCCCGAGUGAGAAAAACGGGAGGCAAUAUUUCAUCAACAAUGGCACGUGCCACAAAAACAGCCAAGACAUCAACAGCGUCUGGUAUAUCCACAGAUAGAUCUUCUGUUGACUCUAGAAGCAUCAUAAAACCUUCACUCAUCUUGGAGGAGUCCAAUAGAUCAGCAUACAAGGCAGACAUCAGAAUUGAUGACAUUUCUUUUUCUUUAUCAUGGCGGUCCAUUGCCAUGGAUAUGAGCUUUUUCACAAAGUAAUUGUGAAACUGAUCGGAUCCAAGACUCCUUAGCUCAGAAACUGCCAGUUCCACAUCUCCUGUACUAUAAUACUCCUCAAUUACUGGAACUACAAGCUUUCUAUAGUCAUCUAAUGUAGCAGGAACCUGCAUUUUGCACAGAAGCAUCGCUAGAUUGUUGGUAAUACUAUUGAGUGUAGAUAGGUCAAACCUUUUUAGUCCCAUUAACUAUUUUGCCCAACUCUUGGGAUGGUAAUGGAUUUGCAUCUCCAUGGUUUUCUUGUUCAAUUUUCCCACCAUCUUCUGAAAGCAGCAUAACCAGGGUUACAACAACAUGCAUAGGAACUAUGAAGAAUAAGAUAGUAUUUCGAAGAAAUAAACCAAUUCUAAAUCUACGCAUGAGUAACAGUACAAAAGAACUACAUAUUGUCCUCCCGUUCCAAUUAAUUCCCGAGUGAUUGUGAAUCAUUCUGUAACAAACCAAGAGAGAAAAACUUCAAAUAACUUGGGAACUCACUUUCAUCAUAGUGACAAUUGCAUUAAUAAAGUUUAUGAACAGUGCAAGCAAGCAAACUCUACAUCUUUAGAUGCCCGCAGUUAAUAUCACAAAAGUGGACACAUAAUGAUACCUCACAAACGAGUUGUAUGUCACCCUGUUUGGCAUGCACCCCUUCUUCACCAUUUCGUCAAACACCUCGUGCGCACGCUCCACGCGUUACGUCUUGCACAGACCAUUGAUAUAGCAGUUGUAGGCCACAACGUCAGGCUCCAGCCCCUUCUCCCCCAUCCUCCGGAACAGCCUGCCGGCCUCGUAGAUCCUUCUCCUGGCGGCCUUCCGGCACCCGGUCCCCGCCCCGAUCCGGCAGUACCAGGAAAUGAGCACUGUGUAGGUGUAGGAGUCAGGCUUGCAGCGCGCGCCGGGGCGCUCCAUCUGGUCGAGCAGGAACCUGGCAUCCUUGAACCGGCCGUUCCGGCACAGCACGGCGAGCAACGUGUUGUAGCACUGCGCGUCUGGGGAGCACCGGAGCUGGCGCGCGCGGUGGAAGGCGGCGAGGGCCUGGCGCGGGAGGCCCUCCUCGCCGAGCGGGCGGAUGACGUCGGUGAGCGCGGCGGUGGAGACGAGCGGGGCGUGCUCGCGGAGGAGGCUGAAGAGCGCGGGGAGCGCGCGGGCGCGGGCGAGGGAGAGCGCGGCGACGCGGAGCGGGGCCUCUGUGAGCGGGACUGUGCGCGGGCUGGCGUCGGAGUGGGACCAGUUGAGGAAGGCGAGGGUGAGCGCGGCGGCGACUCGACGGUGGUAGGAGAAGGACGGGGAGGGGAAGGGCCGCUGUGGGCAGAGGCGGCCCGCGGAGCGCGGGAGGAUGAGGCGCGGGAUGGCGGCGAGCGAGGAGGCGAUGGAGGCCGGGGAGAAGCCGCGGAAGGUGGGGGACGGGCGGAGCGCGGAGUCGAAGCGGCGGCGCUGGAGGAGGGCGGACCGCGGGUUAGUUCGGAUUAAAUACAGGGUUUUUUUUCAUAAAAAGUAAAAAAAGGUUCGACCCGACUUACAGAAGGACUAUGGGUUAAUUACCUGAAACGACAAGGGCUUUUCUGCAAAAACGCCGUGACGGACGACAGAAGCGCUCUGCGCUUUAUUAUUACUAGUAAAAACUAGCAAAAGGACCCGUGCGUUGCAACGGGAGAAAAAAAUACCACACGCUUUUAAUCUUUUUAUAAUAAUGUUGAUUUAUUAAAAUAAUAAGCUAACUAACUAAUGUAGUCAGUCCUAUCCUAUUUUGUUGAAAAAUCAACCCGUCCAUUGUUAAUUCCACCAUGAUGAGAAAUUGAGCGGGACAAACAAAGCAAAACAAAGAGGCUACCUGAAUUGAUCAAUGGACUGUUAUCUUAUUCCACUCAUGGGGUAGAGAAUGUGGGAUCAGAUGACAAACUGAAGGUGGUGUUCCAUUCUCUCUCUAUAUAACAAUGCAAUCUUACAUUCAAUACAUUCAUUCAUCAGCAAAACAAAUUCCCACAAAACAAAAUUUCUUGCCGGUGCUUGGCACACGGUUGGAGGCAUGUGGAGGGGAUCUCACCAGAUGAUGAGUUCCUACCGGAGGAGGGGAUACGAUGAGGGGAGCAAGGGGUUAGGCGCCUCUAUGUGGCCAUAAGGAGUCGUCGUUGCCGCGCCAUAACCUCGGAGUUCUCCGUGUGAGCCAUGGAGGCCCGCCUCCACCUGCAAGUACUUCGCUCCGCCGCGGCUUAUCCGCGCGCCGCCGCCGUUCUGCAUCGAGCAGACGCAUCAUCCCAAGUCUCUGUAGCUGUCGCGUUGAUUUGAUCCAAAAGCUAUGCUCGAGCGCCGAAACGGGGGCAGCAAGCAGGCAGAGAUACGACCGCGGAGGCGGGUGGGUUGAGAUCGACAGCAGUGGUGGUUGAGGUCGGCCGCGGCGACGAGUGGUGUGACAGCGGCCUGGUCACAGGCCAGGGUGGACCAGGGAUCGACGCGAUGCGCUCGAGCGCCGUAACGGGGGCAGUGAGCGGGGAGAGGUACAACCGCGGAGGCGGGUGGGUUGAGAUCGACAGCGGUGGCGGUUGAGGUCGGCCACGACGGCGAGUGGUGUGGCGGCGGCCUGGGCACAGGCCAGGAUGGUCCAGGGUCGACGGGAGGAGGCGAUGCGUACGGGUAUAAUUUUUGCAGCGAAUCAUUUUUUCCUUUUGUGUUGCAGUAAAUGAUGGAGCGCGGGUUGAAUAACAAAAAUCACAGGGGCUUUAUUAUAAAAAUGUCGUGGUGGGUUUUCCGACGGAAGCAAUAGCCGCUUUAUUAUUAGGUAGGUAUAGAUAUAAAUGAUUCAUGGGACCAACGCGCUUUAAGUUUCAGAACACACGCUUUUAAUCUUUUUAUAAUAAUGUUGAUUUAUUAAAAUAAUAAGCUAACUAACUAAUGUAGUCAGUUCUAUCCUAUUUUGUUGAGAAAUCAACCCGUCCAUUGUUAAUUCCACCAUGAUGAGAAAUUGAGCGGGACAAGCAAAGCAAAACAAAGAGGCUACCUGAAUUGAUCGAUGGGUUGUUAUCUUAUUUCACUCAUGGGGUAGAGAAUGUGGGAUCACAUGACAAACUGAAGGUGGUGUUCCAUUCUCUCUCUAUAUAACAAUGCAAUCUUACAUUCAAUACAUUCAUUCAUCAGCAAAACAAAUUCCCACAAAACAAAAUUUCUUGCCGGUGCUUGGCACACGGUUGGAGGCAUGGGGAGGGGAUCUCACCAGAUGAUGAGUUCCUACCGGAGGAGGGAUACGAUGAGGGGAGCAAGGGGUUAGGCGCCUCUAUGUGGCCAUAAGGAGUAGUCAUUGCCGCGCCAUAACCUCGGAGUUCCCCGUGUGAGCCAUGGAGGCCCGCCUCCACCUGCAAGUACUUCGCUCCGCCGCGGCUUAUCCGCGCUCCGCCGCCGUUCUGCAUCGAGCAGACGCAUCAUCCCAAGUCUCUGUAGCUGUCGCGUUGAUUUGAUCCAGAAGCUGUGCUCGAGCGCCGAAACGGGGGCAUCAAGCAGGCAGAGGUACGACCGCGGAGGCGGGUGGGUUGAGGUCGACAGCAGUGGUGGUUGAGGACGGCCGCGGCGACGAGUGGUGUGACAGCGGCCUGGGCACAGGCCAGGGUGGACCAGGGUCGACGCGAUGCGCUCGAGCGCCGUAACGGGGCAGUGAGCGGGGAGAGGUACAGCCGCGGAGGCGGGUGGGUUGAGAUCGGCAGCGGUGGCGGUUGAGGUCGGCCACGACGGCGAGUGGUGUGGCGGCGGCCUGGGCACAGGCCAGGGUGGUCCAGGGUCGACGGGAGGAGGCGAUGCGUACGGGUAUAAUUUCUGCAGCGAAUCGUUUUUUCCUUUUGUGUUGCAGUAAAUGAUGGAGCGCGGGUUGAAUAACAAAAAUUACAGGGGCUUUAUUAUAAAAAUGUCGUGGUGGGUUUUCUGACGGAAGCAAUAGCCGCUUUAUUAUUAGGUAUAGAAAUAAUAAGCUAACUAACUAAUGUAGUCAGUCCUAUCCUAUUUUGUUGAGAAAUCAACCCGUCCAUUGUUAAUUCCACCAUGAUGAGAAAUUGAGCGGGACAAGCAAAGCAAAACAAAGAGGCUACCUGAAUUGAUCAAUGGACUGUUAUCUUAUUUCACUCAUGGGGUAGAGAAUGUGGGAUCAGAUGACAAACUGAAGGUGGUGUUCCAUUCUCUCUCUAUAUAACAAUGCAAUCUUACAUUCAAUACAUUCAUUCAUCAGCAAAACAAAUUCCCACAAAACAAAAUUUCUUGCCGGUGCUUGGCACACGGUUGGAGGCAUGGGGAGGGGAUCUCAUUAGAUGAUGAGUUCCUACCGGAGGAGGGGAUACGAUGAGGGGAGCGAGGGGUUAGGCGCCUCUAUGUGGCCAUAAGGAGUCGUCGUUGCCGCGCCAUAACCUCGGAGUUCCCCGUGUGAGCCAUGGAGGCCCGCCUCCACCUGCAAGUACUUCGCUCCGCCGCGCCUUAUCCGUGCGCCGCCGCCAUUCUGCAUCGAGCAGACGCAUCAUCCCAAGUUGUUGUAGCUGUCGCGUUGAUUUGAUCCAGAAGCUGUGCUCGAGCGCCGAAACGGGGGCAGCAAGCAGGCAGAGGUACGACCGCGGAGGCGGGUGGGUUGAGAUCGACAUAAGUGGUGGUUGAGGUCGGCCGCGGCGACGAGUGGUGUGACAGCGGCCUGGGCACAGGCCAGGAUGGACCAGGGUCGACGCGAUGCGCUCGAGCGCCGUAACGGGGCAGUGAGCGGGGAGAGGCACAGUCACAGAGGCGGGUGGGUUGAGAUCGGCAGCGGUGGCGGUUGAGGUCGGCCACGACGGCGAGUGGUGUGGCGACGGCCUGGGCACAGGCCAGGGUGGUCCAGGGUCGACGGGAGGAGGCGAUGCGUACAGGUAUAAUUUUUGCAGUGAAUCGUUUUUUCCCUUUGUGCUGCAGUAAAUGGUGGAGCACGGGUUGAAUAACAAAAAUUACAGGGGCUUUAUUAUUAGGUAAUAGAUACCCGUGCGUUGCAACGGGGUAAACAUUUUUUUUAUUUAACUUAUUAUUUUAAUUUUAAUAAUUUUUUGUUUUUGACUCGUCAUAUUGAUAGCGUGUACUUACGAUUACACUCAAACAUCAUUUGGGUGGUUUGAUACUUUUAAUCUUUGAUGAGAAAUAAUACAAAGGAGAAAAGGAGACGUUGAAUGAAUAGUCAUUAUAACAAAGAUUUUUGUGCAGAUGCUGAAUUAUUCACACGUGCACAAUAUUAACAUGUGUUUAUACCAACACUGAAUACUCAAAGAUACAUAUAAAAUGCAAUAUUUAUGAUUGAUUACCUUCAGUUGAUAUAUGGUCAUGUCUAUUCGCGUGAUCGGGAUGCCUUUAUGCUCAAGCAUGCCCAGCGCUAACAAUGCAGCUCUGCACACGGACCCAAUUUUCGUUGUCAUCAUCAUCAUCGUCAUCGACCUACGCAGCGCACACACACAAACACCACUGUUUUAUUCUCAAAGAAAAAAAAUACAGUUCCAUUGCAGUAUUAACCCUCUGCUAUUUUGUUACGUAGUACCAGUUCCAUUGCAGUAUUAACCCCCUGCUAUUUUGUUACGUAGUAUACUACGGCUGCUACUGACUACUACUCCGGAGCUCCAGGUACGUGAUGGACGUGCCGGAGUGUCACGCCCAAGAUGCGACCCUAUCCUCAAUUUGGCACGAGGGCCUCGUCAGGGAUAGAAGCGCAUCUCGUCGUGUCGCAAGAAUGGAUAUCGUUACAAGUACAUGUACUAAAAAGAAGAGAUAUAUAGAAUUGGCUUACACUCGCCACAAGCUACAUCAGAGUCACAUCAGUACAUUACAUAAUCAUCAAGAGUAAGAGCAGGGUCCGACUACGGACGAAAAUAAACGACAAAAGAAGAACGACGUCCAUCCUUGCUAUCCCAGGCUGCCGGCCUGGAACCCAUCCUAGAUCGAUGACGAAGAAGAAGAAGAAGAAGCAACUCCGAAUGAACAAUCAACGCGCUCGCGUCAAGUAAUCUUAGCCUGUACCUGCAACUGUUGUUGUAGUAAUCUCUGAGCCACAGGGGACUCAGCAAUCUCAUUUCCAAAGGUAUCAAGACUAGCAAAGCUUAAUGGGUGAGGUAUGGUUAAGUGGUGAGGUUGCAGCAGCGGCUAAGCAUAUAUUUGGUGGCUAAACUUACGAGUACAAGAAAUAAGAGGGGGAAGGUCUACGCAUAGCGGACGUGAACUACAGAUGAUCAAAUGAACGAUCCUGAACACCUACCCACGUCAGACAUAACCCCAUCGUGUCCUCGAUCGGAGCAGGAACUCACGAAAGAGACAGUCACGGUUACGCACACCGUUGGCAAGUUUUAAUUAAAUUAACUUCAAGUUAUCUAGAACCAGUGUUAAACAAAGUUUCCACGUUGCCACAUAACCGCGGGCACGGCUUUCCGAAAGAUUUAACCCUGCAGGGGUGCUCCAACUAGUCCAUCACAAAUUACCACAAGCCGCAUAGAAAUCCUCAAUCACGAAGCUCGCGAUCUCGUCGGAUUCCCUAAUGGAAAACCUCAACUCUGAGAUUACCCAAAGCAUCACCGGAAUCCCGAUGCACAAGAUAUCUCGUCAAAGGUAAAACUAAUCCAGCAAGGCCGCCCGACGUGUCGACGAUCCCGAUAGGAGUCGCGUACCUCGUCCUCAGGACACGACGGAUGAGCUAGACGUCGGGAUCGCUAAACCUCCGGGUGACCAGAGGGGCGCCGGACAUCGCUCAGGUGGGACCAACACUCAUGAGGAGCACUGGCCUGGGGGUUGAUUAAAUUAUCCUCGGGGUCCGGAAAGUCCCUAUGCAAUUUUAUUAGGUGUUUAGGCAAAUGUAGUAUCAAAGUUGGGCCUUGCCAGACCAGUCUUACUCUAAAACGAAUUAUCAAGGGGGUCCCCAUAACAACCCCGAUCGUGUUAGGAGCGCUCAAUUAUGGAACAUAACACCGGUAGCCGGUAACUAAGAGGGCAAAGGUGGAACAAAACACCAAGCUAGAAAGGCCGAGCCUUCCACCUUUUACCAAGUAUAUAGGUGCAUUAAAUUAAAUAGCAUUAAUAUGGUGAUAUGACAAGGAACCCAUGUAAUCACAUGGAAGCAACUGCACCUACAACUAGCAACGCUAACAACAGGGUUAAGCAAGCAGUAACAUGGCCAAUCAGUGGUUUGCUAGGUCGAACAGGUUGAAGGUUUCAUGGCUUUGUGGAGAGGCUGAUAAUUAACAUGUGGUAGGCAACGAGACAUAAUCGGUAGAAGCGGUAAAACUAGCAUGGCAAUGAUAGUAAUGGUAUCUGGGGAAAUGAUCAUCUUGCCUGAGAUCCCGCUUGGAAGAAGAACAACUCCGUGAAGCAGACGAACCGACAUAGUCGAACGGGUCCUCACAUCCGACACGCUUGCGGACUCUAUCGAGACGGGGGAAACCAGAAACAAGAAUCAACACACGAUAUUCACCACACGAUGCACAACACAUAUGAUGCAUGAGCUACUGAAUACAUGCAAGUCACGGCAUGACAAAUCACACAAUCAAACACUACACAUUAAGUGAAGUUCAAUAUGCACGAGUUGCAUAUUGACGAAACUCCAUGUUAAUUAUUUAGUUCACUCCCGGUUAUCUACACGGCAAUAUUAAUGUUGUCAAACAUGCAAGAGGUGAAGUGGAAGUUAAACUACCUAUCUAGGCAUUUUAAGUGAGGUCGGAAAUGACAUAUAGCACCUCCGAAACGACCUCACAUGUUAAUUUGCAAUUCUGUCCAGAUCUGAAUUAAUAUCUUUAGUUGGUUGUUAAGCAGCAAAACAAAUAGGUUCACGUGAUUCUACGUGUCCAGGCAAGCAACCUACACGUAAAGAACAUCUCCAACGGAGCUACGGAACAAAAGAUACAAGCACCGCAAGAUAUGAUGGCAUGAAUGCAAAAUGUGUGCAACGGCGGCUACGAGCACUUCAACACAUUGAAACAACUAGAUAAAAUGAAACUACACGAGACUCUAAGCAAGUUUCAUGUAGGACACGAUCAAAACGGAGCUACGGUUCAACAUCUACGAGCAAAACAAGAAAUCACUACAAUCUGCCAAAACAGCCAUAUAGCACUUUCUACGCCUCACAACUUCGGCUACACAACUCCGAUAAGCUCAAGCAAGGCAUGGCAUGAAAUAGGGCAAGUAGCACUACUUUAAACAACUAACAACAACUAGCAUGGCAGCAAGGAGCACUAGGAAAAGAAGACACAAAAUGACUUCUCACGCACUAUUUCAGACUUAGUGAAAAUAACACCUCGCGAGAGUGCAGUUUUCAACCUGACGGCAUAUUGACAGCAGCAAAACCUAUAGCUACAGGACUCCAAAUGGCAUGAAACUUAACAGCAUGCUAAAUAAACAUAAGGGGUACAACUAACUCCAUUGGACCAACUCCAAAAGAGCUACAGAUCACAAGAUACAAGCAGGACAAGACAGCAACAAAAUAUAACAGAUUCCAGACUUAGAAAUAUAUCAGGUCCUCUAAAACAGCACUAUUUCUUGCAACUUGAGAGCAAGCAAAAAACACCUAUACAUGCAUUUCUAUUGCAACUAAAAAUACCAGGGGCUAAACAAAACACCCAAGAUCAACUCUCCAGUUGACAACUAAUUCAAACGAGGCAUGGAAUAAAACCUACGAAUUAAACAAAAGGGCUUCACGGCAAAAUAUCUCGCGAACUAACUUACUCGAAAGCCAAAACUAAUUGCACAGAAAAAUCCCUGGGAUUUUUCUACCCCGGAAACAUAUAUAAUAUGUGGGGUUUGCAACACAAAAUAACGCCACACAAUAAUGCGGGAGAAAUAGACCUAGACACGAAAAGUAAUCUAACGGGCAAUCCCUACACGCAAAAAUACGAGUGACCGCGCUAAAAUACGUAGAGAUAUGGUCCAUAAAACAUGGACAUUAAAUCUAUGGCAUACGGGCAAUCCGGAUACGCACGAAAAUUAACUACGGAAUGGAUCCUAGUUAAACAGCACGUAAAACGAGGCAUUAGGCACUCUAAACAGCGUUAAACAAAUAUGCAUGUUGGAUAAUCGUGUUCUACUCGCGAAGCUACCCCAAAACGAUAUAUAACACGUCCCGAACCGGCUUACGGAAUAUAAGAUACGGGGGUUUGAAAAUCUAGUUUUUUUCUGGAAUAUAUAUAUUAACUCCGAAAAAACCUAAAUUACUAGCGGGCCUAUUCUAUUUGCUAAUGGGCCACUUGACAUGCGCGUGAUCUAGCAAAAUGCGCCAGGAGCGGGAUAUUAGCUGGCAGGGGCUGCUCACCUUGUGGGCUUAGCCCGGUGGAUGGUGGCACGCGUCGGCGCGGAGCUGGGCCGACGAGGCGAGGCUGUCCUGGGCCACGGGGACCAGCGGUGGCGGACUGGUGGAGCUGGUGCGGGCCGGUUGCGGCACGCCUGGGCCUGGGCGGCGCUGGGCCACGCGGCGGCUGGCCGAUCUGCAGGGCGCGCGCCAAGUGGUUGGUGGCGCGACAGGCGCUGGUCAACGCGCGGGGUCUCGGCACCGCAGGAGUUCAAGCGGGGAAGCACCGAGGGAGGAGUUGCGGCGGCUGGCGCGAUCUGCAGGGCGCGCGCGAUCCGCAGCGCGCGGGGAGGUUGGCCACCUCGGUCAACGCGAGGCCGACCGGUCCUGCCGGAUCGGGCGGGAAGGACCUCGAUCGGGGAGGCGGCAGGGUCCCGCGCGGAAGAGCUGGCGGCAGGGAACAACGUUGGCACAGAACUAGGGACGCGGCGCGACGGGAUCUGGCGUGAAACUCGCGGCGGGGACGGCCCGCGGAACGAGGAAGACGGUGCGGCUCUCUGCCUUAGAUAGGGGAAAAUCGUGACGAGACUGGUUGGGUAGCUGAGGAUUCCAAGGCAAGCAGGUGGCGGCGGGAUGAGGGAUUGGGCAGGGGUAGGCUAGGGUUAGGCUAGAAUGGACAUAAAUACAAUAAUCGGAUUUUUGGUAGGGGCUGCCAAGACCCUCCGAUUAAAUCGGACGGACGAAAUAAAUAGGCUAGGGGGCUCAAUGGACAAACCGAUCACGUUUUGCGGUAAAACGGGGUUGAUCCGGAUCCAACGGUCACGACCGCCGGGUUCGGGUUCCGGGAGGUUUUCGGACUGGGCUGCGCGUAGGGUCGACGCACUGUCCAGAGGGGCUAGGCGAAGAUGAGAGGGAAAACGGGCGACCCGGCAACGUAAUUUUUAAAACACCGACAGACGUCCGACGGUAGACCGAAUACGGUGCCGCUAUGGGCGACCGUUCGGGUACCAGACGGUCUCCGAUCGCGACGAAAUUCGACAGGCGGCCUAGCUAGAUUAAAAUAAGACCGCACGUCAAAUCUCGACCCGAUCAGAGAAAGUUUUACGCACGCUUUAAAAACAGGGUUUGACGGUGCCGCGGGCGCGUGCGGUCGGACUCAAAACGGACGACGACGAGAACCGGCAACUACUAACGAAUGCAAGUUUUGAAAACUGGCGGCAACGGAGAUGCCGAUGCAAUGCGGAUGAUGCGCAUGAUGCGAUGAUGAUGCGGCAAAUAAAAAUACCCACACGACGAAAACGGAAAGAAAAGGGAAUCUUCUGGAACGUCGGUCUCGGGCUGUCACAACUCUCCUACACUACAAGAGGAUCUCGCCCCGAGAUCCAAGAAUGAAAGGGGGAGAGGAUGAGAAGCACAAGAGGUAAAAACUUAGUCGCUUCUUUGACAAACGAGUGAAACCAACGAUCCUUGAAGGUUUCAAAGAGAUGAGAAUGAUAUUAGAAAGAAGGAAGAAUUCACGGAAAAUUUCGGCAGCACUUCGGUAGGAAAAGGGACAAAAAUUUCGAAAAGGUGGAAGAAAUAGACAAUAUUCACGACAAACAAGUAAAUAGAGCAAGGGAACACCACGAUCUUGAUAGAACAACGAGAUAGACCCAAAAGAGGAACAUCACAAAGCCUCCGGAACAAUAGAAUAGGAACUAACUCAUACGGAAGAAGAGAAUGACAACUACUAACUCCAAUGAACUUGACAAGCAUCCUUGCAAGAAGAAUUGGAUGAAGUUGUUGGGAAAAACAACAAUGAAAAGAACAAGAUAGUAGUGGGCUUAUGAAAAUCAUCUCAACAAAUAUGAGGUGACAACCAACCACUACAAGAACCAGGGAUAGAUUGGGAACAACAAGAUAAGAACAACUCUAACCCGAAGAGGAUACAUUGAGAACUGGGAUUAAAGACAAGCACCAUGAUAGCACAAUCUCUAGGAAAAGCUUUAGGUGCAAUCCAAACCAAAAUAGCUCAAUGAAGAAAUCAUGGGUAGAAAAUAUCUCAACACCAUAGAAUCGGUGGGUGUAAUUAUCUCAUCCUUGAAAGGAAAACUCUUCGAGGCUCCUACACUAACAAGAAGGCUAUAAUACCACCUCAAAGGAUAAAGGAAGAACAAUUGCACCGAAAAUGGAAGAGAAAGAAUACUUGAGGUAUUCCAACAGGAAUCUUGAAGAACACAUGAGAAUGAAUCCCAUCCUUGAUGAACCACAAAGAAGGACCCCCGUAUACAAAUGAACGAUGCAAAGAUAUCAAGGUAGAAAAGACUAAGAUUAUGCCCUGCCAAGAUUCAGAUGAAGCUUCACAAAGAGAUACUUAAAGAACUUGGAGCUCCGAAAAAGAAAUAUAGGCACUUUAGAAAAGAAUUGAUAUCAUGAGCCACUCCGGAAGAAGAAUUCAGAUUACUAUGAACAAGAAUAAGAAUUAUGUUAUGUUUAUCCUUCAUCAAGUUUAAUUGAUGACAAGCAUCGGAUCUAGCAAACAACUUAUUCCUCUAGAAAUGAAUCUUGAAGAGGCAGAGAGAUAAGCACCACUUGAAGCAUAAAUGAAAGAAGCACGGUAAGAAUUCCAAUUGAAUGGGAAAUUCCAAGAAUGCAUAGAAACAUCUGAGAAUGAAGAGAUCAUGAGCCACGAGAGAGAAAACUUGAACAAGGCACCGGAUAACCGAGAGACGAACGAAGAGACAACAAUGGAGAAGAAUUGAGGAUGAAAGCUGAAAGCUGAGAACGAAGAAUCUUCUGAAAUGAUGGCCUUCGGAGGAUCAAGAAUAAAACAACUCAGAAAUGCACCGGAUAGCCAGAAAUGAAUCACUCAUGAUUGGAACAAAUGAGAGGAUACACGAAGCUGAGGUGAUAGUCUUCACAAGAAUGGAACAAGACUGAGAGAAACACCUCUUCGAAUUGCAAGCUGAGAAUGAUAACGAGAACAACACCACGAAUAGCUGAGACCUCCGGAAUAAAGAAGAAUGCAAGAUUGAGCCAACUAUGAGAAAUAACUCCAAUUGAUCUUGAAGAAUGAAUAUGACUGAUGAAAAUCAUACUUACGUCAUAGUUGAAAAGAACUAAAGAUCUCCGGAGAUGAUUAAAAGAGCCAGGUAAGAUCCUGGGAAAGAACCUGUGGGUUAUGGGCCCACUCAAAGAAACCACCGUUGAAAAGAUUGCCAGAAAGAUUGAUAUAGCACCAAUAUGAAGAGAACUAGAUGAGGUUAGCACCUCGAAAUAAUAAAAGAGUUGAAAACACGAAACUACUGAGAUAUCUUCAACACACCGGAUAAAAAGGAGAAGAAUGAAUAACAGGAUAGGCUGAUAAGAAUCUCCAACAUAGGAAGAAUUACAAGGAUGAAAAGGAUAUGAUGAACACGGACAACUGAAUUAAAUCACCGGAUGAGACACGGAAGAAAAAAUAUAGCGGAAGCACAAUGAAAUGAAUGCACUUGGAUAAAAUCCAAUCACCGAGGAAAAAGGGCGGGAGGGCGGGGAAAAACAAAGACAACUUGGGACGGAUGAGAUGAACUCCGGAAUAAGAUGAGAGAAUGAUCUGCAAAAAUUGGAGAGGAUAGAAUUCACUAGAGAAUCACACCGGUUGAAUGGAAUUGAUACGAUGACUCCGGUUAAAAGGAAUUGAUAAGACAACUGAUUAAGCAAAAGGAUUUGCAUUCUCACAUAAAAAUAUGAGAACACCUCUUAAAAAGAUCUGAAAUCAACACUUGACAUCGAAGCAACACGAAUUACCAUAAUCAAAAAAACAAAGGGUGUGGCUUAUGAAACAAACCAGAACAAACUCAUGAGAAAGAUUUCCNNNNNNNNNNNNNNNNNNNNNNNNNNNNNNNNNNNNNNNNNNNNNNNNNNNNNNNNNNNNNNNNNNNNNNNNNNNNNNNNNNNNNNNNNNNNNNNNNNNNGAUUUCCGUUCGAUAUUUUCGUGGACAGGAUCGCACGGGCACGAUUUACAGAAGCCAUCAAGUGCAAGGCAGUGCACCCGACAUACGAAGCGUCCCCGAGUCGUAGCAAGCUACAAGGACUCUUUAAGACACAACGUGUACCGCUGUAAGUCGACCGUGAACAAACGAAUCCACUAGAUGUCGAACCCCAACCUAACAUCAUGCAUUUGUUGGAAGAUUGUCCUAUAAGCAACUACUUGAAUUCCCACCUAUGAAUUCCCGAAAUAUCUGGUCAUGCAAUCUGGUACACGGAUACAAGGAGUAAUAUCACACAACUCCUAUACUAACCCGUCACUUGUAUCACAUCCAUCAACACACGACCAGAAUCUCAGACCUUCAUCUACAACAGACCCUCGUGAUCACAACGAUACAAAGUAUGGCAGUACUCCCGAACAAUCUGCACCAGUACUGGGGACAUCGGGGUUAUCUCGCCACUACUAGUAUUGAAGCAAUUACGAACAUCCUUCGUCCUGAGAUACUAAGAAAUCUGAAUGAUAACGAUGUGCUCGAGAAUCCCCUGGAGCUCAACUCCCUGGAAGAAGAUCAAGUCAGACAGGAGGCACCAAGACAGAACUCCGUCACAUCGGCAUCAUAUAGAUCCCAAGAAUAUCCGCGUGAUCCUAAAAAAAAUUGAGUGAGAAGAGGAGUAGAAUAAAUUAUUACGUCAAGAUUCCUCACCAGAGCAUAGAAGAGGAGAAAAAAAGAAUCCUACUCUCCGAUAUAUAACUAGACUCAAAUAGUUUUUUCACUAGACUUGACUCGGCCAAGUUCGAUCAAUCAAGGGGGCUCCUAGGUCGGUCCUUGCUCUGAUACCAACUUGCCACGCCCAAGAUGCGACCCUAUCCUCAAUUUGGCACGAGGGCCUCGUCAGGGAUAGAAGCGCAUCUCGUCGUGUCGCAAGAAUGGAUAUCGUUACAAGUACAUGUACUGAAAAGAAGAGAUAUAUAGAAUUGGCUUACACUCGCCACAAGCUACAUCAGAGUCACAUCAGUACAUUACAUAAUCAUCAAGAGUAAGAGCAGGGUCCGACUACGGACAAAAAUAAACGACAAAAGAAGAAUGACGUCCAUCCUUGCUAUCCCAGGCUGCCGGCCUGGAACCUAUCCUAGAUCGAUGACGAAGAAGAAGAAGAAGCAACUCCGAAUGAACAAUCAACGCGCUCGCGUCAAGUAAUCUUAGCCUGUACCUGCAACUGGUGUUGUAGUAAUCUGUGAACCACAAGGGACUCAGCAAUCUCAUUUCCAAAGGUAUCAAGACUAGCAAAGCUUAAUGGGUGAGGUAUGGUUAAGUGGUGAGGUUGCAGCAGCGGCUAAGCAUAUAUUUGGUGGCUAAACUUACGAGUACAAGAAAUAAGAGGGGGAAGGUCUACGCAUAGCGGACGUGAACUACAGAUGAUCAAAUGAAUGAUCCUGAACACCUACCCACGUUAGACAUAACCCCACCGUGUCCUCGAUCGGAGCAGGAACUCACGAAAGAGACAGUCACGGUUACGCACACCGUUGGCAAGUUUUAAUUAAACUAACUUCAAGUUAUCUAGAACCAGUGUUAAACAAAGUUUCCAUGUUGCCACAUAACCGCGGGCACGGCUUUCCGAAAGAUUUAACCCUGCAGGGGUGCUCCAACUAGUCCAUCACAAAUUACCACAAGCCGCAUAGAAAUCCUAAAUCACGAAGCUCGCGAUCUCGUCGGAUUCCCUAAUGGAAAACCUCAACUCUGAGAUUACCCAAAGCAUCACCGGAAUCCCGAUGCACAAGAUAUCUCGUCAAAGGUAAAAAUAAUCCAGCAAGGCCGCCCGACGUGUCGACGAUCCCGAUAGGAGUCGCGUACCUCGUUCUCAGGACACGGCGGAUGAGCUAGACGUCGGGAUCGCUAAACCUCCGGGUGACCAGAGGGGCGCCGGACAUCGCUCAGGUGGGACCAACACUCAUGAGGAGCACUGGCCGGGGGGUUGAUUAAAUUAUCUUCGUGGUCCGGAAAGUCCCUAUGCAAUUUUAUUAGGUGUUUAGGCAAAUGUAGUACCAAAGUUGGGCCUUGCCAGACCAGUCUUACUCUAAAACGAAUUAUCAAGGGGGUCCCCAUAACAACCCCGAUCGUGUUAGGAGCGCUCAAUUAUGGAACAUAACACCGGUAGCCGGUAACUAAGAGGGCAAAGGUGGAACAAAACACCAGGCUAGAAAGGCCGAGCCUUCCACCUUUUACCAAGUAUAUAGGUGCAUUAAAUUAAAUAGCAUUAAUAUGGUGAUAUGACAAGGAACCCAUGUAAUCACAUGGAAGCAACUGCACCUGCAACUAGCAACGCUAACAACAGUGUUAAGCAAACAGUAACAUGGCCAAUCAGUGGUUUGCUAGGUCGAACAGGUUGAAGGUUUCAUGGCUUUGUGGAAAGGCUGAUAAUUAACAUGUGGUAGGCAACGAGACAUAAUCGGUAGAAGCGGUAAAACUAGCAUGGCAAUGAUAGUAAUGGUAUCUGGGGAAAUGAUCAUCUUGCCUAAGAUCCCGCUUGGAAGAAGAACAACUCCGUGAAGCAGACGAACCGACGUAGUCGAACGGGUCCUCACAUCCGACACGCUUGCGGACUCUAUCGAGACGGGGAAAACCGGAAACAAGAAUCAACACACGAUAUUCACCACACGAUGCACAACACAUAUGAUGCAUGAGCUACUGAAUACAUGCAAGUCACGGCAUGACAAAUCACACAAUCAAACACUACACAUUAAGUGAAGUUCAAUAUGCACGAGUUGCAUAUUGACGAAACUCCACGUUAAUUAUUUAGUUCACUCCCGGUUAUCUACACGGCAAUAUUAAUGUUGUCAAACAUGCAAGAGGUGAAGCGGAAGUUAAACUACCUAUCUAGGCAUUUUAAGUGAGGUCGCAAAUGACAUAUAGCACCUCCGAAAUGACCUCACAUGUUAAUUUGCAAUUCUGUCCAGAUCUGAAUUAAUACCUUUAGUUGGUUGUUAAGCAGCAAAACAAAUAUGUUCACGUGAUCCUACGUGUCCAGGCAAGCAACCUACACGUAAAGAACAUCUCCAACGGAGCUACGGAACAAAAGAUACAAGCACCGCAAGAUAUGAUGGCAUGAAUGCAAAAUGUGUGCAACGGAAGCUACGAGCACUUCAACACAUUCAAACAGCAAGAGAAAAUGAAACUACACGAGACUCUAAGCAAGUUUCAUGUAGGACACGAUCAAAAUGAAGCUACGGUUCAACAUCUACGAGCAAAACAAGAAAUCACUACAAUCUGCCAAAACAGCCAUAUAGCACUUUCUACGCCUCACAACUUCGGCUACACAACUCCGAUAAGCUCAAGCAAGGCAUGGCAUGAAAGAGGGAAAGUAGCACUACUUUAAACAACUAACAACAACUAGCAUGGCAGCAAGGAGCACUAGGAAAAGAAGACACAGAAUGACUUCUCACGCACUAUUUCAGACUUAGUGAAAAUAACACCUCGCGAGAGUGCAGUUUUCAACCUGAAGGCAUAUUGACAGCAGCAAAACCUAUAGCUACAGGACUCCAAAUGGCAUGAAACUUAACAGCAUGCUAAAGAAACAUAAGGGGUACAACUAACUCCAUUGGACCAACUCCAAAAGAGCUACAGAUCACAAGAUACAAGCAAGACAAGACAGCAACAAAAUAUAACAGAUUCCAGACUUAGAAAUAUAUCAGCUCCUCUAAAACAACACUAUUUCUAGCAACUUGAGAGCAAGCAAACAACACCUAUACAUGCAUUUCUAUUGCAACUAAAAAUACCAGGGGCUAAACAAAACACCCAAGAUCAACUCUCCAGUUGACAACUAAUUCAAACGAGGCAUGGAAUAAAACCUACGAAUUAAACAAAACGGCUUCACAGCAAAAUAUCUCGCGAACUAACAUACUCGAAAGCCAAAACUAAUUGCACAGAAAAAUCCCUGGGAUUUUUCUACCCCGGAAACAUAUAUAAUAUGUGGGGUUUGCAACACAAAAUAACGCCACACAAUAAUGCGGGAGAAAUAGACCUAGACACGAAAAGUAAUCUAACGGGCAAUCCCUACACGCAAAAACACGAGUGACAGCGCUAAAAUACGUAGAGAUAUGGUCCAUAAAACAUGGACAUUAAAUCUAUGGCAUACGGGCAAUCCGGAUACGCACGAAAAUUAACUACGGAAUGGAUCCUAGUUAAACAGCACGUAAAACGAGGCAUUAGGCACUCUAAACAGCGUUAAACAAAUAUGCAUGUUGGAUAACCGUGUUCUACUCGCGAAGCUACCCCAAAACGAUAUAUAACACGUCCCGAACCGGCUUACGGAAUAUAAGAUACGGGGGUUUGAAAAUCUAGUUUUUUUCUGGAAUUUAUAUAUUAACUCCGAAAAAACCUAAAUUACUAGCGGGCCUAUUCUAUUUGCUAAUGGGCCACUCGACAUGCGCGUGAUCUAGCAAAAUGCGCCAGGAGCGGGAUAUUAGCUGGCAGGGGCUGCUCACCUUGUGGGCUUAGCCCGGUGGAUGGUGGCACGCGUCGGCGCGGAGCUGGGCCGACGAGGCGAGGCGGUCCUGGGCCACGGGGACCAGCGGUGGCGGACUGGUGGAGCUGGUGCGGGCCGGUUGCGGCGCGCCUGGGCCUGGGCGGCGCUGGGCCACGCGGCGGCUGGCCGAUCUGCAGGGCGCGCGCGAAGCGGUUGGUGGCGCGACGGGCGCUGGUCAACGCGCGGGGUCUCGGCACCGCAGGAGUUCAAGCGGGGAAGCACCGAGGGAGGAGUUGCGGCGGCUGGCGCGAUCUGCAGGGCGCGCGCGAUCCGCAGCGCGCGGGGAGGUUGGCCACCUCGGUCAACGCGAGGCCGGCCGGUCCUGCCGGAUCGGGCGGGAAGGACCUCGAUCGGGGAGGCGGCAGGGUCCCGCGCGGAAGAGCUGGCGGCAGGGAACAGCGUUGGCACAGAACUAGGGACGCGGCGCGACGGGAUCUGGCGCGAAACUCGCGGCGGGGACGGCCCGCGGAACGAGGAAGACGGUGCGGCUCUCUGCCUUAGACAGGGGAAAAUCGUGACGAGACUGGUUGGGUAGCUGAGGAUUCCAAGGCAAGCAGGUGGCGGCGGGAUGAGGGAUUGGGCAGGGGUAGGCUAGGGUUAGGCUAGAAUGGACAUAAAUACAAUAAUCGGAUUUUUGGUAGGGGCUGCCAAGACCCUCCGAUUAAAUCGGACGGAAGAAAUAAAUAGGCUAGGGGGCUCAAUGGACAAACCGAUCACGUUUUGCGGUAAAACGGGGUUGAUCCGGAUCCAACGGUCACGACCGCCGGGUUCGGGUUCCGGGAGGUUUUCGGACUGGGCUGCGCGUAGGGUCGACGCACUGUGCAGAGGGGCUAGGCGAAGAUGAGAGGGAAAAUGGGCGACCCGGCAACGUAAUUUUUAAAACACCGACAGACGUCCGACGGUAGACCGAAUACGGUGCCGCUACGGGCGACCGUUCGGGUACCAGACGGUCUCCGAUCGCGACGAAAUUCGACAGGCGGCCUAGCUAGAUUAAAAUAAGACCGCACGUCAAAUCUCGACCCGAUCAGAGAAAGUUUUACGCACGCUUUAAAAACAGGGUUUGACGGUGCCGCGGGCGCGUGCGGUCGGACUCAAAACGGACGACGACGAGAACCGGCAACUACUAACGAAUGCAAGUUUUGAAAACUGGCGGCAACGGAGAUGCCGAUGCAAUGCGGAUGAUGCGCAUGAUGCGAUGAUGAUGCGGCAAAUAAAAAUACCCACACGACGAAAACGGAAAGAAAAGGGAAUCUUCUGGAACGUCGGUCUCGGGCUGUCACACGGAGUCCACGAUGACCCCGCCCGUGCCGUCGUCCUUCACGGCGAACGCCGAGGUCGGCGGGGUGAUGUGCGUCGAGCCGACGGCCAGGCCCUUGAGGUUCACGUAGUAGAAGGACGGCUGGCUCGGUUCCUGAUGAGAGGGGUAGUCUGCUCCAUCCGUCUCUCGUCCCUAUCUGCGUCUCUUUCUUCACCAAUACUGUAUAACACACGACCGAGCGUUUGGCGACCCCGGCUGAUUCCCCGAGCGCGCAUCCACCAAGCCACCAAGCUCCCCAUCUCCACGCACCUCACCUCGGCGUCGCUUGGUGGCAGAGUCAUGGCAGUGGCGGUGGGGCCUCUCCUCGUCUGCCAGCCGAUCCAUUGCGCACGACCACCCCUCGCAACUGUCAGCCCGCGCUCCGGUGGUGCGUCUCUCGGUGGCGGAGUGCCCCCUUGUGGCAGAUAUGGGACGGUUGUUUCGCUAUCCUCAUGUAACUUGCCGCAGCGCGUCUCUCAGUGACGGAGUGUCCCCUGGGGGCAGAUCUGGGGCGGUUGUUCUGGUGGCCUCCUGUGACUCCCCGCGACACCUUGCCCUACUCCCCCUCCGCCGCCACCAAUAGUUCCCGGCGCGGCGCGUCCUCGAUUUGCAGCAUCCGGCUCCACCCACCCUUCAUCCUCCUCGGCCUCUCCCCAACCUCCCGGUUAUAGCGGGUCGUCCCGACCAUACCUGUCCGCCGCGCUCUCCCCGACCGUUGACCCUGCUCAAGCAGAGCCCGCUCGAAGCCGAGCCGCCAGCGCGCCAGAGACCACGACGCCGACAGAUCCGUGCGGCGAGGGGAGGAGUAAACUCGAAACGUUUUUUUUCAGAUCCACUUAAAUAGGGACUGCGGGUUGAAUACCCAAAAGAGGAGGGACUUUUGUGAAAAAGUGCCAAUGACGUACGGCAGAAGCCUUGGGUGCUUUAUUAUUAGGGAUAGAUCAUUAGGGGAGAUACGUGGCAAGCGGGGGAGAGAAUGUGGUGUCGAUUUUGGGCCGGGUUGUGUGUUCUUAGUUGGACUUUUCAGCAAACAAUUUGUCCUCUAGACGCUUCCUUCCUUGAAUUUUUCAUAUAUGUCGAUUUAUAUCCAUCUAUUACAUUCAAAACCAAAGAAUUACACUAGGUGAGUGUUAGAAUACAUAUAGAUUUAUUAACUCCACACAUAGCAGGGGCCCAAAGAGGUAUAUCCCCGGACAUAAACCUAAUUUUUUGAGAUAACAAUAUAUUUUGCUGCUCGACCAUUUAUUCGGUUCACAUAUUACUUUCACCUUUAGCUUCGUUUCAACGAGAGCUUCAAAACAAUAAAUUUUAUAGCUCAACCGUUUAUCAUAUUCAUAGUUAGUUUUCAUCUUUAGCUUCGUUACGACGAGAGCUUCAAAACUAGUACAUCUACAUAUUUUAACAAAAGAAUCGUUUUGGGUCUUUUGCUUUCUAGACAACAAUAUAUUAGUUGCCUACAUAUUCUGUAACGAGUUACCAGGUAACUUUAACACCAAUACAGUGACAACUUCAUAAGAUUGCCAGACGACAAUUAUGUUUUCAUUACAAGUAUUCUUUGUUACAAUGUAACAACCCAUAGGCAGCAGCCUAUUUUGCAACACGUCGCCCGUAAAAAAAAAAGCCUACUUUGCAACACCUUAGCACGGUGCAAGCUUGGUAUCAAUACAUGGAGAAUUUCAUACAUCUUUGGGUGGUAACUUUUUUAUAGGAUAGGGCCGUAACUUUGAAGGUGGUUUUUUCAUUUGUUGAAAAUACUCGUAGAUAUUAGCUAUCUUCGUUGCGGAACUAGUCCAUUAGUUUUUUUUAAUUAUUUGGUAUUGAUGCUCGUAUUUUUCUGAACAUAUUUCAUGUUUUCUAACGAUAUUCAUUCAGUGAAAGAAGACGUUCUCACCGAUUAUGAAGACAUAUGCGGUGCUUCAUCAAUCUCAAAAUGAUAUGUUGGCUCGGUAUCUCAACAGUAUUCAUAGAGAUAAGUGUAUAUACAUUAUGCAAGCGCCCUGAUGAGAGAUAGGAGCGAAGGUAAUCCUGAAAGUGACAUUGGUGGGGCACCAUUUGUUGGAAAACCCAACCAUUUUUCUUGUUGGCCAUGCGGCGACUUGCAUGUCAAACCUGGUUUUCUUCUCGAUUCCGUGUGCCCGGAUAAAUGUCUAAAUGUUAAUACUUUUAGCAGUAAGAUUAUUCAUGUAUUUUAAAUGCGUGCAAAUUUUUAUGAUGAGAUUUCAAGAGCUCGUCACAAGAAAUCAAAUGAUGAAUACAUAUCGUAAUUAUGACAAUCACUUUAGAAGUUGCUGCCCUUUGAAAUCACAAAAACACACAAGAAAAUUCUAAACUUUGUCUCCUGUGUGUGGCAAGCGGGGGAGAGAGUGCGGUGUGGAAUUUGGGCCACAGGCUUUUUUCAUCUUUAGGAUGUGGGGUUGGGCAAUUUAUACACAUGGUGUGUGAUUAGUUAGACUUUUCAGCAAACAAUUUAUCCUCGAGACGCGUCUAACAUUAAAAUUUCCAUACAUGUCGCUUUAAAUCCAUCCAUUACAUUUAAAACCGAAGAAUUGCUAGGUGUGCGUUAGAAUACAUGUAGGAGAUAAUUAUUAACUCCACGCGUAAGAGAGUCACUGUAUAUAAAUCUAGGUUUCAAAAUAAGUGUCGUGUUUUAGUUCAAAUCUCAAACUCGUUACCAUCUAUCAAUUUACUUAUGUUUUCAGAAAAAAAAUAUUGUUUAUCACCACGCUACAACCCCUAGCCAUCAGCCUAUUUUUCAACAUGUUAACACAUAGCAACUUAUAGUUCUAGCAAAAUAAAUAAACCAUAAACUACUUUGAACUUUCUAAUCACAACAAUUAUGGAUAAUGUCAUUCUUAUAGUCUUUCUCUUUGGCGCAUGCACGCAUACAAAUACAAAUUAGCUACCAAUGUGAAAACAUAUACUUCCUCCGUUUCUAAAUAUAAGUCUUUGCAAAAAUUUCAAUACAAACUACCUACGGAGUAAAAUGAGUGAAUCUAUGUUUUAAAAUAUAUCUAAUAUAGACAUUCAUUUGUAAUUUAUAAUAAAAUUUAAAAAAAAUCAUAUUUAAAAACGAAGGGAGUAUAACGGUUUAAGGCUAAUCAGAAGCAGGAGAGAUGGCAGCGAAAGUUAUCCUGAAAGUGAUAUUGGUGGCCAUUUGUGGAAAAAACAUCCCAUUACCUGUUGGCCAUGCAUGCGACGACUUGCACGCCCUUAAUUUUCCAAGUCUUCCUUUGACCAACGACAACGAGGCUGUGCACACACACGUUAUCAUCUGUACACAAACCUAUACACAUCUCCUUCCGGUUUCAGGCCUUGAUCCAUUCCUCCUCCAGCUCCCUCAGGCUUCAGGCUUCAGGCUUCGAGCUGAUCACAACUCUCAAGUUACCAGCCAUGGCGGCCAAGGCCACCUCAUGCUUCACCUUCCUCAAAGAAGCGCUGGUCCUCCCCACGCAGAACCCCAAGCUCUUCGCCCCAAUCUUCAUCCUCCUUGCCGUCAUCGCCUUCCUCGUCCCCGCGGUCAACGUGGUCUUCAUCCAGCCGCUCACCGCCGAGAUGCUCCGCCACCUCGCCGAGAUGCAGACAACCGACCCCUCGACCGCCGAGUUCGCCAGGCUCUUGCAGGAGAUACGGCAGGAAACGAGGGAGCUCGUCAUCAUCACCGUCGCCCUCACGGUCGUCACCCUGGUGCUCGUCUUCGCCAAGCAGAUCCUCUCCUUCUCCGCGGCCUGCACGACCUACUCCGGCGACCGCUACACCCUCGCGGAGCUCCUCCGCAGGCUGACCAAGUGGGGAAACCUGAGGGGCCCUCUCGUGACCGUGGGCGUGGUCACCGCGCUCCAGCUCACGUUCAUGGUGCUCCUCGGCGUCUACCUCUCCAGCGUCAUGCGCCACUCGGGGUUGCUCUCCGUGCAAGGCGCGCUCUUCGUCCUCGCCUUCCUGGCCUUCAUCUACUUCGGGGUCGUGGCCGUGGUGGGCGUCGCCGUGUCGGUGGCCGACGAGGGGUGCCGCGGCGUGCGCGCGCUCGGGCGGGCGUGGCGGCUCAUGACGCGGGUGAGCAGGAAGGAGGGCGCCUUGCUGGCGGCGGUGAUGGUCCUCCUGCCGACCGUUUUGAGCCCGGUGAGCGCGCUCGCGCUCGCGUACGCGAAGAAGAGCAUGGCGGUGGGGCUCUGCCUGCUCGCCGUGCAGGCUCUGCUGUCCGGUGCGGUGGAGCUGUUCUACAUCGCGGCGGCCACGGUGUACUACUACAAGGCCAUGGAGAGCAAGGGCGUGAUGGUCCUGGCUUUUGAUGGCUAUGCCAAGAUACCUUCCCGUGAGGCAAAUGUCUGAUUGAUCGGCCGGCCCCUGUAUAGUGAGUCAUAUAUAUACUUGUGGUGCUUCCUACCUGUGUGAUCAUUAUCAUUGUACUACAUACUAUUUUACUAUGUCAAAUCUUGGAAUAUGUAUACAUACAUGAGAUAAGAGUAAAAAUAUAUGUGUGUAGGUCAGCAAAUUAGUAUCCCCUCCUUUUUAUCAUCAAUUGCUCAUAUCCAGGUCAUGAACUUUAGAUUAGUCAGUCAAGGCAGUGAACAGAGCCAGAAUCUUGCAAGGUGUAGUGGAGUUAUUCUAGCUUAUAUUCAUCCUCUGUACCACAAGUUAAGGGUACUUAUAUUAGUGUUUCCAAACAACAAGUAUUUAGAUGCAGAAGGAGUAUAAGCCAGCAAAAACCCUUAAUCUUUUGCAUAACACAACGUUGCGCUUAACCAAUGGCAUGUCAACAUAUAGACAGUGUCAUGAUACCAUUCUUUUCAUCCACAAGUAAACGCAAGGUCUUAGAUUCUUUGCCUGCAUGAUCAUUCUAGCAAUGGCGUCAUUAGUAUUUACAUGACGCAUACCUUCCACUAAAGCAAUCCAAUAUCUAAUAUCACUUUAUUAAAAAAAUAAAUAUCAAAAAAUUUAAUAUCAGUUCCUACCUCUCACUAUACCAACAAAACAUACAACGUUUGCCUCAAAUCAUAAAAAACAAGAACCGGUCACUGCUUCAUGAAAAACCUAUCAAAAAGUGGGUUGGGCUUGUAGUGAGAAGGGUUAGAUCGACCACAAAACAUAUUCAUGAGGGGACUAUUGUGGUUCAAGAAGGCGUGGCUCCAUGCCGCAUCGAUCAACAACAACGAGCUCCAAAUGGCGUCGAGCAACGACCACUCGAAGAACUCAAGGGUGAAGAGGAGAUAGAGAGAUGGAUGUGUUUUAAGGAUUUACAUGAUCGAUGGACGAAUAUCGUUACUAUGGGUUGAUUUCAUAAAAUACUGUGAUGCACACAUUGACUGAGGUCCAGAAAUUAAAUUAAAAAAAUGCAGGUAUGUGCAUGUGGGAGGGGGGGGGGGUGGCAAACACACAACGGCGGUGUGCCUGCGUCUGAAGUGGUCUAAUUCAGACUGAUUUGUAUGUAAAUGAAAUAACAAUAGAGUUGAUGUACCACUCUUGCGGGGUUAUCAAGUUUAUGUAUAGCUUUGUUAUCGUGAUGCAAGUUUAUGUAUAGCUUUGUUAUCGUGAUGUAAGUUUAUGUAUUAAUAUAAGCUUAAUUAACUAUCAAAUAAAUGAAGUUGCAAAUGUUUAUCAGAUGAAGUGCCAAGAGGACGCAAGCAUAAUAAUGAGCAUGCACCCGACACCUGCAUACCAAGGCGCAUACUAUCA
RNAcentral lists this long non-coding RNA (54628 nucleotides) under Hordeum vulgare. RNAcentral's name for it is "long non-coding RNA (HVUL_LNC020453)". The stretch from base 6096 to 6170 matches the Rfam family "Small nucleolar RNA snoR60". The record is from RNAcentral. Lineage: Eukaryota; Viridiplantae; Streptophyta; Magnoliopsida; Poales; Poaceae.